Molecule: long non-coding RNA, 45310 nt
Filed under: Malus domestica (apple)
Lineage: Eukaryota; Viridiplantae; Streptophyta; Magnoliopsida; Rosales; Rosaceae
Description: long non-coding RNA (MDOM_LNC002157)
Source: RNAcentral
CCCUGCCAAAUUUGAAAAACAGUAUUGUCAAGUCCUGGGAUUGCUAGUUAUAUAACACUCAUCACACUGUCAUUGAAAACACAAAGUAACGACCCAAUAAUUCUCAAUUUAUUCUUCUUUCAUUUACUCAAUGCACUCUUCUAAGUUCAAUCAACAUAUAAGAGAACUAGUCAUCUAUAUCCUCUCAAGAUGUUUUAUAGACCUUUUAAUCGUGCCCCUUUAUAUUGAUCUUGCGGUGAAGAAUUAAUUUAACUUGUUCUUUUUUUACUUAUUCAUGUUGGACGACGUCUUUUCUACAUUAUUUCUCUUUUUUAUAUUAUUUUCCUCGUCCCUUGUCAUGGCAAAGAUCUAGAUGUGGCAGUGGAAAGUUUUGCAGAGAGUUGGUGAGUAUUCAAUUUUGUAGAGGGUUGGGAAGGAAGUCUUGGUUCUAGUUGUAUUAACAUCAUUAUAAACUAAAAAGACCAAAACAGGAAAUUAGCUAAACUUGUAAACUAGUAAGUAAAUAAGAUUAUGAAGGAAUGAGUUACUGGCAAUUUUGUGAAUCCCAGCCACAUAAAUUGGGGGCUCUUUGUAAAGCGGACCUCCACCGCUGCACUUCUUCCAUGUCGGCGUUAGGAUCAUGUUCAUGUUUAGAAAAAGCUUUCUCAAAACUUCCCUUGAUUUUACGAACAUGAGAUGGGUCUACUUGGUAGAAAAUGGGAAUCACAAUCUGCUUCUUCUGAUCCAUGCAUUGCAGGAUUUGGACGAGUUCUUUCAAGCACCAUGUGGAAGAAGCGUAGUUUUGAGAAAAAACUACAACUGAAAGCCGUGAGUCGCUUAUAGCUGUCAGUAGCUGCGAAAGGUCGUUGCCUUUUCUGAGCUCUUCAGCGUCACUGAAGGUGUUGAUUGAGUUCUGAACUAGAGCUUCGUAGAGAUGGCAGAUGAAGGUCCUGCGAGUGUCUUCGCCUUGAAAAUUCAAGAAGACUUGAUAUUUCCUGUGGAAAUUUUCAGGUCGACGGGUCGAGGGCCCACUCCAACAACACCGAUACUGUUCCCACUUAACCACAUGCACAAUCCUCAGGUGUGGGGCUUUAUCACAAAAGGCCUCGAUGUUAGUUAGAGAGGGGUAUUUCUAUUUAAAGCACUUUUUUCUUCUCCCUCUGUCCGAUGUGGGACUGAGGGUUCCAACACUCCCCCGCACGUGAGACCCCACUUAUGGGUCACACGUGAAUUUCCACACAUCGGCAACCAUGUGGAGCCAUGUCGGGACUCACCCAAUCACGCGGGGCCAAUGGGGACCCAUCCAAACACGUGGCAUCUUUGGCCUACGUGGACAAUCGCGCGGGGCCAAAGGGGACCCACCCAAUCAUGUGGCAAUACGGGCCCGCCUCCUGGCUCUGAUACCAUGUGGAAAUUUUCAGGUCGACGGGCAAAAAAAAAAAGAAAGUUUUUUUUUUUUAAAUUGUUGUCAAUGACAGUAGAAAAGCAAAAACAGGUCUACCAUGCUUCUAAUAAAAGUGUUUUUUUUCAACGCAUAGUAAUUAAUGUCAUUUAUGAAAUUUUCAAAUAGCAAGUAUACCCCCGUAUAUUUUACAAAAUUACAAUGAUUGCCCCUACAUUAUUUUGUUUGAAUAUUAUUAUAUCACAUUAAAUACUACAUUUUUCUUAGGCAUUUGACGUGAGGUUUUAUCACAAAAGGCCUCGAUGUUAGUUAGAGAUGGGUAUUUCUAUUUAAAGCACUCUUUUCUUCUCCCUCUGUCCGAUGUGGGACUGAGGGUUCCAACACUCCCCCGCACGUGAGACCCCACUUAUGGGUCACACGUGAAUUUCCACACAUCGGCAACCACGUGGAGCCAUGUUGGAACUCACCCAAUCACGCGGGGCCAAUGGGGACCCACCCAAACACGUGGCAUCUUUGGCCUACGUGGACAAUCGCGCGGGGCCAAAGAGGACCCACCCAAUCACGUGGCAGUACGGGCCCGCCUCCUGGCUCUGAUACCAUGUGGAAAUUUUCAGGUCGACGGGCCGAAGGCCCACUCCAACAACACCGAUACUGUCCCCACUUAACCACCUGCACAAUCUUCAGGUGUGGAGUUUUAUCACAAAAGGCCUCGAUGUUAGUUAGAGAUUGGUAUUUCUAUUUAAAGCACUCUUUUCUUCUCCCUCUGUCCGAUGUGGGACUGAGGGUUCCAACAUUUCCAAUCAGGAACAGAUGAAGAAGAAGAAGAAGCCAUCAACAAGCACAAGAUCGACAGCCUAAUGUGAGUCUGGCGUAGCCCCUUAACAAACUCAAGAUUGCAGGUCAACGACCCCCUUCAUUGGUUCUCCCUAGAAAAAUGAGAUGCAUCUUCAAGGGAGGCGCUUGGAAGUUGCCAGGAAAAGGGUCGCUUUGGCUAAAUAAAGUCCGCUAAUCUACGCCGUCCGAUUGAAUAAAGCAAGUGGGAUUGCACAUGUUGGCCGACAACCCCAUCAGGCUGGGCCCCAGUCCCUUCAGCAUGCUCCUUUUCCCUUGCUUUUUUGGCGCGUUGCCUUCCUUGUGGAGCGUCAAAGUGCGCAGCUUUCUCUCUUUCUCAGCGCGUCCACACGCGGAGCGGGUGAGUAUAGGAAAAGGAUCCGCAAGGAUUGUUUUGUUAGGGAUUCUAGAGAUUCUGUUAUCGGGAUCGUUCAUCGUAUAUUGUACAGUUGUAAAUUAUUUUAAAAUAUAAAAUUAAAUAUAAAUAAUACCUAAUAAAAACUGACAGCAUAAUGUAUGAUGAACGAUCACGAUCACGGAAUCUCAAAAAAAAAAGAUUCGGCAAGGAUCAUUUUCCAAAAAUUUUAAUCCAACUGGUUUCUUGUGUUAAAUUUAUCCCAAAAAUUAGUUUUGACCAAAAAUUGAUUUUUGGUCCAAGGGUUGGAGCAAAUCGAGAGAGUUUAAAAACAAAAAUUUAAGUUAGUCUAACAAAUACAAAUGAAAGAAAGUAACAUUCAUAUUUUAUUGUGCCCUUUAAUUUUUAUUUAAAAUGGUCUCGCAUAACUACUUACUUUUAAAAUUGAUAAAAAUGGUCCUGCCUUUGUUCUUUGUUUUUCAUUUAUUUAUAGGUAACUUGCUCAAGUCCAAAGGCAAUUAAACAUGAUUAGUAAAGCACCAUAAUAAAGCAUGAGAGAUAUCUAUUUUAAUUAAAUCCGUUGUGGGCUCACUGUGAUUGUACAUCAUCAUCAUCAUAAAUAAUGCAUGCUUGAACCCCAUUUUAGUUUCAUGCCUAUCAUGAUUAAAUCAUGGAUGGUCAAGAAGCAUAGGACUGAGAAAUCAGAGCCUAGUUUCCAAUACCAAAAGAGUACAAAUUAUUCAACUUAAACGCUAAUUUCGUUAACGAAGAUUAAAAUAGGCGUGAAAUCCAUACAAUUUAUACGUUACCAUUGAUUCAAGUUCUGGUAGGUAUCCAUGAAAACUAUCCGUUGCCGCUCUCUCAGUUCCCAUAUUUUCUGUAUAUUCCAUUAAAACAAUAUAAAUUUUUGAUGCUGAAGCUAAAACAGAUUACCAAUAAUAACAAAGAGGUCUAAAUAAUAGAAAUCAAAUUUUUUAUUUUUGCGGACUUUAGAGAAUCCCUGCAAACUUUAGCCUAACAUUAUGUGAUUGCCUCACUUCUUCAGUAACUCAGAGGAGGUGAAUUACUCAAAGUAUGGAGGACUUCUGCUAACAUAUUUCAAGCACUUGUAACAUUAAAUGUAAUGACAGGUUGACAUUAUUUUUUUUUUAAUUUUUUUUUUUGUAAAGAAUUGUUGCAAGAAGUUUGACCCUUUGUCUUUUUAUUUCUGUAAGGAUUUAUAGGUACAUAUAAAAUCCAUAUUAUAUAUGGUUCACAGAUGAGAGUACUUCAAACACCAAAUAUUCAUUCAUGAUUGGAGAUAAGAAAGCUUACUAAAAGGCAAUCGCCUUUGUGAUGUUUACUUUUGUGCUUAUCCUUUGUCUUCUUUUCUGAGGCAAAAUAUGUCAAUGUGAUAAGUAAUUUCCCAUAAAGAAUCUCAUCCUCAAUAGGCUAAACAACUACAAUGGUUAGUCAAAUAAUGUACUUUCAUGUAGUUAAUCUCCUCGGUUUGUGUUUACUUUUUCAAUAUCAAAACAUCUCGAAGAAACAACGUUUUCCCAUACUCUACAAACACCGAAUGUGCCCGAUAAACCACUAACAACGCCAUUACUCUAAUUCGACUGCAGAGUGAGAGUUAAGAUAAGAAGAUACUCACAGGUCAAAACGGAUGACAUCACCAACACGUAAAUCCAAAAGCCACAACCAAAUUUAAUUUUGUUUUUACUUUGAUUUUUUUUUUCUUGAAUCUGUUUGGAUGCUGAGAACGUGUGGUAUGGGAUUAUUAAUUACCGGCAGGGAAAGAUGACGAUUUCUCCUAUUUGGAUUUGCAGGUGGAGGAAUCAUAGCCGAGGGAUUGCAGUCCGUCGGUGACCAUCUUCCUCAAAUCGUCUUUUUGUUUGAGAUUCUUGUUUGCUUCGACGAUCCUCACCGUAUCGGCCAGGAGGUUUCUCUCCGAGACGCUCACGCAUGGAAUCAGACUCUGAUUAAACAAUAAUUAAGCAAACAAUCAAUCAUCCAUAUGCAUAUUCUGUGUUUGGUUGCCAAGAAACCGCGAGAAAUGCAAAAACAAUUUACUAAUAAAAAAGUUUAAUCAAAGCAACCAUUAUUUAUACUUUUGUACCUUAAGAAUAUCUGAGGCGUCGCCACCGAACAAACCGGAGGAGAUUGAAUCACCGAAACCUCCACCGAAUAUAUCGAGCUCGUCGUCGGAGCUGUCAUUGCUGUUGCCGUGAAAGCAAUUGCAGCGGUUCCGUCCACAUUUCGGCGGAGGUUGCUUCUCGUUGCUUUCUUCGAUGAAAUUCUGAACCAUCUUCGCCAAGCAGACCGAACUUGGCUUGAACUCAGGCCGCGGCGCUGACGGUCCCUUCAUCCUUGCUGAUAUUGAGGCCGCAGGAGUGGCGAGUUGUGAUGUGGACUCAGGCCUCUUGGCCUCUGGGUUUUACGGAGAAGGGGAAGACGGUGAGGGUUGAGAGAGAUGCAGAGUCUGAAAGAGAGUGAAAGAGAAAGGGUUAUAAGAGAGGUUGGGUGUGACAGAGACGAUUGAAGCAAAACGCACGAUGAUAAACGCGUGUGCUCGGUUCAGAAUGGCAAGCCCGUAAAUACCCAAUGACAGAUUUGUAAAUAAAAUGAAAUUCACUUCAAAAUACUGUUCAUUUUAAUAGUGCCAAUUGAAAACCUUACUUUAGACUAAAGUAACUAGAAAUUAUGCAUGCGCGUUGCUACUAGAAUCAGCUGUUUCAAACGUAAUUGGAUGGACAUAACACAUUUAAGUUGAAUAAAUUCAAAACAAUUACGAACAAACAGAAGGAUACAUGAGUGCAUGAGACCGGUAAGAUCAGUAGUUUCGUUUUUGUACACUUGUAAGUGAGUUGACAUAUAAACACAUUGCACAAUGAGUGAGAAUAAACUAUACGUGUUUGAAACUUCAUUUUAAACUAACAUUCACACAAUCCUAAUCAUUUGUGAAUUACCAUAUUCUUAUCAUUAUUCCAAUAUCUCUUCAUGUAGAUGGGGUGAGCUCAUACCAGUCAUUAAGGGCAUGUUUGAUACUCUACUUGAAUUCAACUUUUUAAAUUAAAAAAAAAAAAAUUCAAAUUUUAAGCCUUAAAAACUUGUUUGGUAAGAUUAUUUUCAAAAAUUGAACUUAAGAUUAACUCAAAACUAUAGUUUACUCUCUAAAAACACAAAAAGUAAAUUUUUAGAAUUUUUAAACUUAAACUCACUCAUUUCUUUUCUCUCCCUCCUCUCACUCCAAAUCUAUCUCUCUUUUCUUCUUUCUAUGUCCCCCUUCUUUUUUUUUUUUUACCUUUUUCGUCCCUCCUCCAAUCCGCUCUCUUUAUUAUCUCGAUUCUUUCUUUCACUUCUCUUCCUCCCUAUCUCCUCCGAUCCUCUCUUCUUUCUCUUUCCUUUAAUCACGUCUUAUUUUCUUUCCUCCUCUUUCCUCUUUCUCCCUCGACCCCCUCUUUUUGGAUCUCUUUGUCCAGUUUAAGUUGUAAGAUUUAAAAAUUUUAAAUCACAUACCAAACAAGUUUUGUAGUCUUAAAUAAAAUUAUUUUCAAGAAAAAUUCCUAAGAAAUGUUUUGAGAAAUGAUAAAAAAUUUCAAAUAGGAUAUCAAACAAGCAUUAAAAUUGCUAAUGUAUUUAGUGAUUAUACAGAGCAACUUAACUAUAGAAACGCUCCUCAAAUCACUCUAUACGUUUCCAUUUUGCUUUUCAAAUUAGCAUGUUUAUGUAUUGACAUUAGAAACAGCGGAAAAUACUUUUUACAUUCACCUCUUUCAGACCCUGCGUAAAGCGGGAGCCUUGUGCACUGAGUACGACCUUUAUGCAUUGACAUUAGAGAAAACGAGAAUGCUGAUGAAAAUUGGAUUAUUAGAGGUUAAACGGCAGCGAACCAUUCGGUGUUGAUAAUGAAUACGAAGAUGUGCGAUUUCACGUGAAUGCUGCUUGGAAGGCUAUGAAGUUUCUUGCACUGCUUUAGACUCAAACUCUCAAGGUUUUCAAGAGAUGAAAUUGAUGGGCAAAGGUCUUCAACAGAUAUCUCAUCCAAGCGAAGCUCUCUUAAUCCUUCCAGAUCUCCGACAUUUCCUGGAAAGCCCUUGAGCUUUGGACAACCAGAAAGAUUAAGAAAUUGCAGGGACUUGAGUUGAACAAAGCUGUUUGGAAGAAUCUCAAGUUCUCUGCAAUAUUCAAGAUUCAAAGUAACAAGCCCUGUAAGAUUGUUAAUUGAUCGAGGCAGUUCUUUUAUUGCAGUCCCUUGAAAAUAAAGCUUUGAAAGCUUCUCCAUAACUUCUGAAAUCUCUGGAAACUUCCCAAGUAUUGAACAAAAAGAGAGAUCAAGGGUUUCAAGAGAUUUCAUACUAAUGUUGCUUGAAAAGGUCUUGAGUUUGCCGCACCAACUUAGAUCCAAGAGGACAAGUUUUUCAAGGGCAGAAAUGGAUGGGUGAACCUCAUACAAACUUGUGCAUCUACCAAGAAUUAGCUUCUCAAGAUUCUUUGCCUCAGUGAAGUCAGGUGUUUCCUUAAGACGAUGAGAGCCUUUUAAAUUGAUAAUUUUCAACUUUCCCAGAGGCUGUCAAUAUACAAGGAAAAUAUGUGUUACCCACAUAAUAAGGCAAUUAAAAACUAAAGCAUUUAAAAGCAGUAUAUAGGCAAAUGAUGAAUGUACCUUAGUUCCUUUCCAGAGGUGUUCGACCCAACUAUGUUGCAUGUCAAUUUCAACAAGAUUCUCGGGGUUAAAAUUGGACGAUAAAGACUUUAGGGGACAAUUGUGCCAGAACAGAUAACUUAGUUUUUCAGAGAAACUUUAGAUCCUUGUAUUUCCAUUGACCAUAUGGCAUGUUCAGUGGUAGAAUAUUGUGGGUAUGGACUCUGAGUAGCCUUAGUUUUGUCAUUUUAAGAAAAGCGGUAUCUAAUUCCACCACAUUGUCUGAGUGUGGCCAAUGCACAAUUAUGCUUUCAACUGCUUCAGUAGCCUGGAUUACCAAAAUUGCACAUUGAAUGAGUACAAACUUAAGAUUAUAACGCCUAAUGCACAUGUUUCUCAUGAAUUGGAUUUUGGUCAAAGUUGAAGCUUUAUACUUUUUCUUAUUAGUAUUUUUUGAAUUUACUAAUAUUAAUGGGAGAAAGAAGAUUCGAAGCAAUUACAUUAAUGGAGGGGAGGGGAGGGGAGUGCAUUUCUCACCGUUUUUUUAGUUAACACAUGACGGACAUCUUCAUCGCUCCACAACCUACUGCAACUCCCAGGCUCUUCUAUAGAUUUCUCGCGUACGAUUUCGCGACCCAUUUCCUCUAGUAAAUCAUGCAUCUCGAGUACACCAUCAGAUGAGAUAGUGACAAGAGCUCUACCAACUAGAACGUCUAAUCCGGUAUGGGGAUGGAAGCCACAACCCUCCAUAAUCCUUGUUGCAAAGUCUUUCUUCAUUUGUUUAAAGAAACAUGCAAUAUCAAGAAAUAUUUCCUUCUGAUAUCUAUCUAGUCCAUCAAAGCUUGUUCUAAGCAUUUCCUGGAUUCCCGGGUUCGGAUUUCUGGCUAUUUUCUUUAACUCAUCUGUCCACGCACGUUCACUUUUGUUUUCGAGAAAUGCUCCCAAGACUUUGAGUGCUAAAGGCAAACCUUGAGCAUAUUUUGUGAAAUGGCCUGACAGAUCAAUGUAUUCUUCUGUGGGUUGCUUUCUACUAAAAGCAUACUGCAUAAACAGCUUGAGAGCAUCAUUGUUGUUUAAAAACUCGGGCUCAUAUAUCUCAUCACCAAGUCUGCUUAGUGACUGUUUAUCUCUAGUUGUUAUAAUGAUUCGACUUCCGCCACCAAAUGAAGGUUGCUUUCCAAUUAAGGCUUCAAUUUGGGAUGAACUCUCCACAUUAUCCACAACAACAACAACAACAACAAAGCCUUUUCCCACUAAGUGGGGUCGGCUAUAUGAAUCCUAGAACGCCAUUGCGCUCGGUUUUGUGUCAUGUCAUCCGUUAGAUCCAAGUACUCUAAGUCUUUUCUUAGAGUCUCUUCCAAAGUUUUCCUAGGUCUUCCUCUACCCCUUCGGCCCUGAACCUCUGUCCCGUAGUCACAUCUUCAAACCGGAGCGUCAGUCAGCCUUCUUUGCACAUGUCCAAAUCACCGGAGCCGAUUUUCUCUCAUCUUUCCUACAAUUUCGGCUACUCCUACUUUACCUCGGAUAUCCUCAUUCCCAAUCUUAUCCUUUCUCGUGUGCCCACACAUCCCACGAAGCAUCCUCAUCUCCGCUACACCCAUUUUGUGUGUACGUGUUGAUGCUUCACCGCCCAACAUUCUGUGCCAUACAACAUCGCUGGCCUUAUUGCCAUCCUAUAAAAUUUUCCCUUGAGCUUCAGUGGCCUACGACGGUCACACAACACGCCGGAUGCGCUCUUACACUUCAUCCAUCCAGCUCGUAUUCUAUGGUUGAGAUUUCCAUCUAAUUCUCCGUUCUCUUGCAAGAUAGAUCCUAGGUAGCGAAAACGGUCGCUUUUUGUGAUCUUCGCUAGAUUGCUCCGGUCAUUAGUGUGGAUAAGUAUAUAUAAAUGGAUAGAGAUAGGAAAGCAAACACAAGAUGUACGUGGUUCACCCAGAUUGGCUACGUCCACGGAAUAGAAGAGUUCUCAUUAAUUGUGAAGGGUUUACACAAGUACAUAGGUUCAAGCUCUCCUUUAGUGAGUACAAGUGAAUGAUUUAGUACAAAUGACAUUAGGAAAUAUUGUGGGGGAGAAUGAUCUCGUAAUCACGAAACUUCUAAGUAUCGGAGUGUGGUGUCGUCUUGACUUGCCUUAUCUGUCUCAUAGGUAGAUGUGGCAUCUUCUCUGGAAGUACUUUUUCCUCCAUCCAGGGGUGGUAUCUUUAACUGGUGGAGAUGCACAAGGUAAUGUAUCAAUUUCACUUGAAGCUUACUUGUAGUUUCAGGCUUGGUCAAGCGCGAUACAAACCAUGUAGUAGGAGUCCCCCAAGUCGCCGAGCUAGGGGGUCUGCUGAAAGAGGUGACAGACAAGGUAAGCAAUCAGAGCUCCGACUGAUUGUUCACCUUCUCCCCAUCUUGCAGCAGCAUGAAGGAUAAAGAGAAGAAAAAUGAGAAGAGAUGAUAUGAGAUACUUUUGCUUUUGAAGAAGUAACUUUUCCACAGGCUUAUUCUUGAACUGAGCUGGAGGGUUUUCUGGUUUCCUCCAGAGUAUAAGGCCGACUGAAGAAUUUGAGGGUCAAAACAAGUCCAUCAAAUCUAGAGUACGUUCCACCCUGCUGAUAUGGGAUACUUUUGCUUUUGACAGAGUAAUGGAUGUAUCGGCACGUGUGCUGUUACGCUUGUCUCCACAUGCUUCCUUGUAUCCUUCGCACUUGCCCUAUCUGUUCCUCAAGCAGAUGCGGAAUCUUCCCUGGAAACAUAAGAUGUUGAAGAUGAGUACUCGAGAGCAAUGCCAGGUAAGUAAUCAGGUAAGGGGUUCCAGGCAGUCAGUUCCUGGCUGGAAGCUUGAUUCCAAGUGCUGACUGAUUGCUCUCUUUCUCCUUGUCUUGCAGGUAAAAACAAGGCCAAAGGAAAAGACAGGGAAAAAGCAUGAUAUGGGAUACUCUUGCUUUUAACCCUGAUGAUAUGAGAUAUUCUUGCUCUAGUAUAGCUUGUUUGCAGAGGUAUUAUCGGGGGGAAAGAAAGCUGAAUAUUUCGAAAGGCUUCGUUGGGAGUGCCCUCUCAGAUAUGAUGAAGGGUUGAGCAUUUUUGCAGGUCUGCCUGUCCGUUGGGGAUGGAGGUCGACAUAUAUAGGAGUCUCCCUAACAACAAGUAGUAAUGCUAUUCCUUUACCCUGCUUGGUCAUAGCACGGUAGUGGGAGCUGCCAGUUUCACAUGUUUUAACUCUGUCAGAGCACUUUGAAAAAGUGGUCUGUGGUAUCUGGCUCUCGAGAUUCGGAGAACGAUGCCUCUUCGAUUUUUGAGAAAGCAAUCAUGCUGGGGGUCUGGCUCUCGAGAUUCGGAGAGCAGUGUCUCUUCGAUUUUUGAGGAAGUAAUCAUGUUGGGAGUCUGGCUCUCGAGAUUCGGAGGGCGGUGCCUCUUCGAUUUUGGAGCAAGCAAUCUUGUUGGGAGUGUUGUCUCGAAUGUGAGUAAAGGUUGGGCAUGUUUGCUAGUCUACCUUGCCACGAAGCACAAAGGUUGACACACAGGGACUUUCCAAUUAUCCAGCAAUGGUACUGUUCCUUUACCCUCUCUUCGAUUUUGAGAAAGUAGUCAUGUUGGGAGUCUGGCUCUCGAGAUUCGGAGGACGGUGCCUCUUCGAUUUUGGAGCAAGCAAUCUUGUUGGGAGUGUUUUCUCGAAUGUGAGUAAAGGUUGGGCAUGUUUGCUAGUCUACCUUGCCACGAAGCACAGAGGUUGACACACAGGGACUUUCCAAUUAUCCAGCAGUGGUACUGUUCCUUUACCCUUGUGGGUAAUAAUAUGGUAGCUAGACCUUCAAAAUUUAUGUGUCUAAACUUUGUUAGUGCUGUUUCUUUGCUAUUCUUUUACCUUUCUUGGUCAGAGCGAUGUAGUGGGAGCUGCAAGCUUCACGUGCUCAACUUUGGCAGAGAACUUUGGCAAAGUUAUCUGUGGUACCCAUGAGCUAUUGUUGCGUGUGGGAAGUGGGUGAUUGAACAGUAAGAUUCAUGUGCUUUCUACUUCACCAGAAGUCUUCGACAGAAUGCCCAUAAUUUCUGCAAAGCUGAGUGUGCGUGUGACAGGUGCUGACAAGGCUAGAAAAGUAGGUGCCUCUUCGAUUUCUGAGAUCGGCCCUCGUGGUCUCUGAGCAGCCCAGCUUUUGAGAAAGCGAGCGCCUCUUCGAUUGAUUCGGAGAACGAUGCCUCAUCGAUUUUUGAGAAAGCAAUCAUGCUGGGGGUCUGGCUCUCGAAGAUUCGGGGAGCAGUGUCUCUUCGAUUUUUGAGAAAGUAAUCAUGUUGGGAGUCUGGCUCUCGAGAUUCGGAGGGCGGUGCCUCUUCGAUUUUGGAGCAAGCAAUCUUGUUGGGAGUGUUUUUCUCGAAUGUGAGUAAAGGUUGGGCAUGUUUGCUAGUCUACCUUGCCACGAAGCACAGAGGUUGACACACAGGGACUUUCCAAUUAUCCAGCAAUGGUACUGUUCCUUUACCCUCUCUCUUCGAUUUUUAAGAAAGUAGUCAUGUUGGGAGUCUGGCUCUCGAGAUUCGGAGGACGGUGCCUCUUCGAUUUUGGAGCAAGCAAUCUUAUUGGGAGUGUUUUCUCGAAUGUGAGUAAAGGUUGGGCAUGUUUGCUAGUCUACCUUGCCACGAAGCACAGAGGUUGACACACAGGGACUUUCCAAUUAUCCAGCAGUGGUACUGUUCCUUUACCCUUGUGGGUAAUAAUAUGGUAGCUAGACCUUCAAAAUUUAUGGGUCUAAACUUUGUUAGUGCUGUUUCUUUGCUAUUCUUUUACCCUUCUUGGUCAGAGCGAUGUAGUGGGAGCUGCAAGCUUCACGUGCUCAACUUUGGCAGAGAACUUUGGCAAAGUUAUCUGUGGUACCCAUGAGCUAUUGUUGCGUGUGGGAAGUGGGUGAUUGAACAGUAAGAUUCAUGUGUUUUCUACUUCCCCAGAAGUCUUCGACAGAAUGCCCAUAAUUUCCGCAAAGCUGAGUGUGCGUGUGACAGGUGCUGACAAGGCUGGAAAAGUAGGUGCCUCUUCGAUUUCUGAGAUCGGCCCUCGUGGUCUCUGGGGAGCCCAGCUUUUGAGAAAGCGAGCGCCUCUUCGAUUUCUGAGAUCGGCCUUCGUGGUCUUUGAGCAGCCCAACUUUUGAGAAAGCAAACGCCUCUUCGAUUUCUGAGAUCAACCCUCGUGAUCUCUAAGCAGCCCAGCUUUUGAGAAAGCAAACGCCUCUUCGAUUUCUGAGCAGGCGCCUCUUCGAUUUCUGAAGCUCCGUCGAGUGCAGAUUUUUAUAUAGGGGCUGGCAUUAAGUUCCAAAGCACACUUGAAUCUCCACCAGUAGAAGCUUCAUUCUUGCACUUCUAAGAUCUUGAUUUGUCCGACCUCUUCUCUCUUCAACACCUUUGAAAAUGUCUGGCCCCUCCGACCGUCGUUUUGACUUGAACCUUGUUGAAGAGGCAGCCCCGCCUUCUCCAGACAACAUAUGGCGCCCAUCCUUCGUCUCCCCUACUGGUCCUCUUACCGUUGGGGAUUCCGUGAUGAAGAAUGAUAUGACCGCUGCGGUGGUGGCCAGGAACCUUCUCACUCCCAAAGAUAACAGACUACUUUCCAAACGGUCUGAUGAGUUAGCUGUUAAGGAUUCGCUGGCUCUCAGUGUUCAGUGUGCAGGUUCUGUGUCUAAUAUGGCCCAACGCCUAUUUGCUCGAACCCGCCAAGUUGAAUCAUUGGCGGCUGAAGUGAUGAGUCUCAAACAGGAGAUUAGAGGGCUCAAGCAUGAGAAUAAACAGUUGCACCGGCUCGCACAUGACUAUGCUACAAACAUGAAGAGGAAGCUUGACCAGAUGAAGGAAACUGAUGGUCAGGUUUUACUUGAUCAUCAGAGAUUUGUGGGUUUGUUCCAAAGGCAUUUAUUGCCUUCGUCUUCUGGGGCUGUACCGCGUAAUGAAGCUCCAAAUGAUCAACCUCUGAUGCCUCCUCCUUCUAGGGUUCUGUCCAGUACUGAGGCUCCAAAUGAUCCCCCUCCGGUGCCUUCUCUUUCUGGGGCUCUACCGACUGCUGAGACUUCUCCUAAGCAACCUUUGUGAAGGCUCCCUCUUGUGUGUUUAUUUUGACUCAUGUAUAUGUACAUAUUUGUAGCUUAUCGGGGAUAUCAAUAAAUAAGCUUUCCUUCAUUUCAACGUAUUGUGUUAAAUACACCAAAGCCUUCUUCGCUAAGUUCUUUGAAUUUUCUUUUGUUGAAGCUUGUAUGUUGAAGCUUUCUGAGUGGAGCAUGUAGGUUGGGGUAGUGUUCCCUUAAUUUCCCGAGUGAGGAAAACUUCUCGGUUGGAGACUUGGAAAAUCCAAGUCACUGAGUGGGAUCGGCUAUAUGAAUCUUAGAACGCCAUUGUGCUCGAUCCUGUGUCAUGUCCUUCGUUAGAUCCAAGUACUCUAAGUCUUUUCUUAGAGUCUCUUCCAAAGUUUUCCUAGGUCUUCCUCUACCCCUUCGGCCCUGAACCUCUGUCCCAUAGUCGCAUCUUCUAAUCGGAGCGUCAGUAGGCCUUCUUUGCACAUGUCCAAACCACCGUAACCGAUUUUCUCUCAUCUUUCCUUCAAUUUCGGCUACUCCUACUUUACCCCGGAUAUCCUCAUUCCUAAUCUUAUCCUUUCUCGUGUGCCCACACAUCCAACGAAGCAUCCUCAUCUCCGCUACACCCAUUUUGUGUACGUGUUGAUGUUUCACCGCCCAACAUUCUGUGCCAUACAGCAUCGCCGGCCUUAUUGCCGUCCUAUAAAAUUUUCCCUUGAGCUUCAGUGGCAUACGGCGGUCACACAACACGCCGGAUGCACUCUUCCACUUCAUCCAUCCAGCUUGUAUUCUAUGGUUGAGAUCUCCAUCUAAUUCUCCGUUCUUUUGCAAGAUAGAUCCUAGGUAACGAAAACGGUCGCUCUUUGGCAUUUCUUGAUCUCCGAUCCUCACCCCUAACUCGUUUUGGCCUCCAUUUGCACUGAACUUGCACUCCAUAUAUUCUGUCUUUGAUCGGCUUAGGCGAAGACCUUUAGAUUCCAACACUUCUCUCCAAAGGUUAAGCUUUGCAUUUACCCCUUCCUGAGUUUCAUCUAUCAACACUAUAUCGUCUGCGAAAAACAUACACCAAGGAAUAUCAUCUUGAAUAUGGGGUAUGGGCGGUAUAAACUAUUUUAAAAUGUAAAAUAUAAAAUAUAAAAUUAAUAAAUAAUAAUUAAUAAAAAUUGACUGUAUUAUGUACGAUGAAUAAUUACGAUCACGGAAUCCCUAGGAUCCCAAAAGAAAAAUUCGGUGAGAAUCCUUUUCCAGAAUUUUUAAUCCAACCGUUUCUUGUGUUAAAUUUAUCCCAAAAAUUAGUUUUGACCAAAAAUUGAUUUUUAGUCCAAGGGUUGGAGCAAAUUGAGAGAGUUAAAAAACUAAAAUUUAAGCUAAAGUCCAAAGAUUUGAGUUAGUCUAACAAAUACAAAUGAGAGAAAGUAACAUUCAUAUUUUAUUGCGGCUUUUAAUUUUUAUUUAAAAUGGUAUCUAAACUUGGUAUAAUUACUUACUUUUAAAAUUGAUAAAAAUGGUCUUUGAGAUUGUCUACCAUCAAUCAUUUUGGUCAUUCUGUGAAAAAUCUUAAUUAAAUUAGAGGUAUUUUUAUCAAUACCUUUGAAUUGAUGAUUUCUUCAAUUUAAUGAAAUAUUUUCACAAAUCAUGGUGCAUAUUAUUGGUGGUCCUAAGCUCCUUUAUAUGUGUAGCGUAUGCUUAUGUCAUGAUCUUUCUGCUUCUACUAAAUAUCAGAUGAUUUUGUUUUUACUAUUUGUUUUACUUUGUACAUGGGGUGGCUUUUAGGUUCCCCUGUUGUCUUACUUGCUAUGUUAUUUCCUCAACAAGGUUUGCUUUUAUGUUUCCCUCAUUUGUAAAUUUCCUUUUUUUUUGUUUUUACUUUAAUAUGAUAAUGGGAUGCUCGGUGAGCACUAUUACCCCAUGAUUUUCACGCAUGCACACAAAAAAAAAAAAAUUUAUCGUCACAACUAGCAUAUUUAUCAAAAUACUCGAAAAGUUAGAGUUUCUAGUCACAACUAACAUUGCCAUAUAGUCAAAAUGCUCAAAGUAUAGAAAAGAAAUAUAAAGAAGAUAUCAAGUUAGAUCAGUUACAUAGAGAGAGUCAUUCCCAUGGGAUUGCAUGAUUUCUCUAUCAUUGCAAUGUAUUUUUCAUAAAACUUCCUUUUCAUGAUUAGGGACUACGAUCCUUGGUGCUAUAAAUUCAGCAGUUGACUCAAGCACAGAAGUUAUCUACAGUGAGAAUCCUGAUGGUAAUUUUGUAAAGUCAAACAACUUUGCAUAUGCCAUUGUUGUGGUUGGCGAGUACCCUAUGCUGGGACUGCGGGAGACAGCCCAAACCUUACGAUGGCGGAACCUGGCCCAAGUGUCAUCAGCAAUGUGUGUGAAAGUGUAAUGUGCAUUGUUACCAUAAUAACUGGAAAACCUAUUGUAAUAGAACCAUACUAGAAAUUACGCCCGUUGUUGCGGAAACCAACUGUUACAGGCGUAAUCGAAUUAAUAAAACACAUUUAAGUUGAAUAAGAAUGUCCCCAUGAUUAGUCUUCUCGUUUAUUUUUCACAAACCAAUCACAUAUUAAAAAUCCAAGUACGAAAGCUUUGCAAAGAUAAAUAAAAAAUUUAUAUAACUAAUUAGACUUUGAACAUGCAAUCAAGGCACAUACUCGUAUACCUAAAAAUAGCAAGGAACCGGCUUCUUCCUCCCACAACCAGAGUUCCUGAAAUUUCCAAAGAAAGUAAAUCCGUUAGCAAUUCAGAGAAAUUGGAAGACCAAAUCGUAUUACAUUUGAGUUAAAUGAGCAAAGGUAAACCAAUUAAAUGAGAUACUAAACACAUUUCGAAUCUAUGAAAUAGAAGAAUAAUCAUGUUAGGACUCCCAAGAUGGUGUCCUAAGCACAAAAUUAUAGGUUAAGAAAGGUAAAUCCCAAUCCAAAGCUCCAACCUUUUAACUGAAAAUGAAACAAAAAAGCAUGGAUCAUAUAUUUCAGUUUUAUUAUUAGAUUUUCUAAAUCCCCAAUUUGAAUGUGUUGUAAAGACCUGCUAAAGAUAAUACCACCAACUAAGGGUGGCAAUCUGACCAGCGUUGUGCAUGUCAUGUCGACUCUAUGCAACUUAAUAUAUAACAUUUAAGCAGCAUUAGACGGUCUCCUAAGCAUCUACAAACCAUUUAACAUUAUUUCCCCAAUUUUAUUUCCCAAUUUUAUCAAAUGCUGCAUAAACGAUCACAAUUUACUCCCUUACAAUUUCCACCUAACUCCGAACAAACAAUAUUGAUAAAUCUUUAUCAUCACCUUUAACGAAACAGAUUACAGCGAAAAGAAAAAAAAAGUUACUAUGAAAUCAAAUUCUUCUAGAUGUCCAACCUAACCCAUCUAUGGGAAGGCAAGCAAUCGGACGUGCAUUUAGACCAAGCAAAAUAAAUUUUACAAUUUAUCAAAACAGCAACUGAUUCUCCCAAAGAGAACACAACAUACCAACAUAUUAUUCACCAUAUUCUAAGCUUUCAUUUUCGUUCUAUCUCUUUCGUUAUCUAAACUUAUAGUUAUCAAAACAGCAAUAAAAUCAUAGACAAACCUUCAAUCAUUUAUCAAAACUGAAUUAAUUAAACUUCUGCUCCGCAGUCCGUUAAUUUUAAUUGCAACUCUCAUUCUAAAAAUUUAAAAUUUUGCAUUGAAUAAUCAAACGCACUUGCACGUUACAUUCCUUUUAUUGGUUCUUGACAUAAUACAUUUUAGGAUUGAUGUAAUAAUAUCACUACAAACAUGAAUUGCGAUAGAUAUAGAAACCAAACUUGCACACAAAUGUUUGACUGAAUUCAGAACCACUUAAUUCAACAUAAAAAAUUACCUCACAUGCUUGCUCCCCUUCUGCUCUCGCAUCGUCGGCUCCGCUACUAAACGAUUAAUGAAGUCCCAAAGCAAAAACAGAACAAAAAACAUUUACCAAUCCAACAUUUCAACACAUGGUUUUGGCAGGUAUAACAUUUCAACAUAAGCAUGAUAUAGAAAGAAAGAAAUCCACAUGUCACUUUGUUUUUUCAGAAUCAACAAAAAGGGCAACUAGAAGAGAAUGUAACCAAUUUUAAAGAGUAAAUCAGUCUCCCAAUAAAGGAGAACAAUGCUGGCGGUAGACCAAGAGUAAGUACAACCCGACUGCAGCAACAAAAACACAAUUGACUUUCACACUACAGAAAUAAAUAAUAAAAAAACACAUACCUGCACCCAAUGCAUUGUUUUUUUUUUCCUCUGCAGUAUAAGAAUAAAAAAGAAUAACAUUCCCCUGAAACCAAAUUCAUCCCCCAAUUUCUUGCAACAAAGAGGGAGACCAACCUUGUGUUCUUGGAGAACAGUAUAACAAUUAGACACAAUCAGACUAAUCCAAGUUCCCACUAUGAUAAUGAAAAAUUAAAAUUAAUAAAAUAGCUCAAAUCAUAUCACAGUAUGUCACAAAGUACACCAUUUGAUAACCAAUAAAUUUAACAAAAAUAGAUUCAAUAGUCUAUAUCAAUUAAUCAAUAGUCUAAAGUAUGAAAAAAAUUGAUUUCAAAGCCUUCCUUAGGAACUUCACAACGUAUCAACAGACAUUAUGAUAUCGAUGAUGGUAUCCAUGAAACCCCAAGCUGCAAGCAAAUACUGCCUUUGGAAAUUUUCAAUAUAAAUGGUUUUGCAAACCAGCCACUAAUGAAACAUCUAAUUUCAAACAAAUAAUAAAAGCUUUCUUUAACUGACACAUUAUCCUUCUUCUUUCCUCCCAUUUACUUCCCACCCUCCCUAUUAAUCCCUCCAUUUUGAAACUCCUAUAUUCUUCCUAUUCUGUACAAAACCUGCCAAAUCAUUUCCUCACUUCUCAAAACCCAAAUAAUCACUUAAAAUGCACAAAAUUACAAUUAAAUCAAUAUUACAUUACACAAAAUGACAUUCAAAACCACAAUACACUAAAACCAAGCGUGAAUUCUACACCCUCAAUAAGUGGAAGCAUUCGUACCUCAAAUGAAUUUGCAACUUAAUUUUUUGCUGAAAAACCUUGACCUACAAAACCAAAUUACAUUUAGGGUAAAUUACAAAAAAUUAUCUCAACUAUUGGUGGCACGACACUUUCAUACCUCAUCUUUUAAAAUUGACAAUGUCAUACCUCAUUUUACGAAUUUAUGCCAACGUUAUACCUUCCGUUAGCUUGGCAUAAAUUUCUCAGUUAAAUGUUGAUGUGGCUUGAUCUGGGGCCCAUUUUCUGUUAAAAAAAUUAUUAAAAACUAAAAAAAAUCAUUUAAUUUUUUUUAAAUAUUAAAAUAAUAAAGAAAAGUUAUAUAAAAUAAAAAAAUAAAAAAACCAACCAACACCCAGUUCGUCCCCUUCCCCCCCCUUUCUCUCUCCUCCCCAUCUUCAUCUUCUUCCCCCUUCUUGCAACUGCAACCCAGAAAAAAGAAGAGAAAAAAAAAACCAAUUUGUCUUCCCCACACCCACUCUCCGCACCCAUCUUCAUCUUCUUCCCCCUUCCAAUUGCAACCCAGAAAAAAAAAAAAAAAAAAAAAAAACCAAUUUGUCAAUUUUUUUUUUCUUCCUCCUUUCUGGGUUGCAGGAAGAUGGGGAAGAGAGAAGGGGGAGGGACAAACUGACCUAAGGUUUUAUUUUAUUUUAUUUUUAUUUACUUUUCUUUAUUAUUUUAAUAUUUAAAAAAUACUAAAUAAUUUUUUAAUAGAAAGUGGGCCCCGAUUCAAGCCACGUUAGCAUUUAACUGAAAAAUUCAUGGUCAAGUAACGGAAGGUAUAACAUUGGCACAAAUUCGUAAGAUGAGGUAUGACAUUAUCAAUUUUAAAAGAUGAGAUAUGAAAGUGUCGUGACACCAAUAGUUGAGUUAGUUUUUUGUAAUUUACCCUUACAUUUAUCAACAAAAAGGAAUCAAUGUAAGAAAGCAAACACAAUACAGAAAAAAUGGCCAUUCAAGUCAGCUCUAUUUAGAUUAUAAUAACUCUCAAUUUAAGAAAGCAAAUGCAAUACAGAAAGCAAAUAUAAUCCAAAUUACCUUGAACACCACCAUCAUAUUUUUACUCCGUUACGUAUACAUGUCCUUUUCUUUCUAGAUAAACUUUAUUUCUUUGAAGUUUCUGCAGGGUGCAUUCCAAUUUAACCCUUUAAAUGUUUGUAUAAAACUUAGGGUGCGAUGGCAAGUGCCUUCGCCCAUAAACGGUAGAUCUCGGGUUCGAGACUUGGGAGCAGCCUCUCCAUAAAUGGGGAUAAGGCUAGCCGACAUUCACCUCUCUCAGACCCUGCGUAAAGCGGGAGCCUUGUGCACUGGGUACGACCUUUAUAUUCUCGCCUGCUUGCAAGUCAACUAAGUCAACUAUUCAACCUUCACAUAUUGUUUAUUAGUUUUCUUGAUACUAAUGUAUGGAAAGGGCUUAAAUCCUUCAAUGUAUGGAAAGGGCUUAAAUCCUUCAAUUAUGGAUAUACUAAUGUAUAAUCCUUUGUUCUAGACCAAUUUUGUUCUUAGUUCUUAGUUUUCUUGAUACAAACUUUUUUUUUUGUAUUAAUAUAAAUUUGUUUGCACCAAGGGAUGGGGUGGGAACAUAUCUUGAAAUAUGGCCACGUCCACAUUUGCAGCUGAAGAACACUUCAAUAUAAGUUUAAUUUGGUGCAACUUUAGGUUUAAUUUGGGUAUGUUCCACCACUUAAAAUUUGCAAUACUAAUUUUGAACAAUGAAUAAGAAAAUUCUACCAAGAGAGAGUAAAAUAGUAAAUCAACUUAAUUUCUGUAAAAAAAAAAAAAAAAACUUGCAAAAAUUUCAUGAAAUUUUGGUAAAAACGGAAAAGAAAAGGGUUAAGACAAUCAAGACUAAUGGAAAAUUUGAUAUUGUUUUAACAUUAACUUAGGUUGAUUUUGUUCACCAGCAUUAAUAAAACGAAUGACUUUAACUUGGGCAAGCAAACAAUUAAAUUAGACGUAAGCCAAGUAACUUAGAAGUUAACCAUAUGAAAAAAGGAAAACUAAUGAAAAAAGCUUGAAAACUUUGAGUUUUAAUGAUAAGGACAAAAUAAAGGGUAAAGUGAAUAGUACCAUGAUUGACUUUUUAGUGUAAAAAUGUGGUUUUUCGUUAAAGUGAAUAGUACCGAGUGCUUUUCGUUAAAGUUCCCUAUGAAAAAAAGCAAUGACAAUCAAACUGACCUCUUCUUUCAUAUGAAGUAUAAUCUGUUCUCUAUUUUGCCUUUGUGAAGAAUGCACUUUUCACUUCCUACACACAAAAUAGCAUACAUUGAAAAUGCUCCGUAGCAUUAUAAAAACUAUAGAUAUACAGUACUGUAUAUGUAUCAUAUACUAUAUUGUGUACGUAGUUGGACAUAAGGUAUAAAGAUUUACUAACAUAAUUAAGCUUAAAUUUAACAAAAGAAGUAAUUACAAAUUGAAAUCAAACGAUAUUCUAGUUAUUCAAAAAAAUUCUGGCUAAAUUUUACAAAUAGUAUUAUAAAUUGUUAAAAAAAAUAACACAAUUGAAAAAACUCACCACUCAAAUCUGCAAUUCUAUUAAAAACACAUCACUAAAAAUUAACUCCAACAAAAGGGGAUUAACAAAUUAUACCUUUUUAAGAGUUGGAAUUGUUUAUCUAUAUCUUGAGCUGGACCCGCUGGAUUUGAAUCCUCAGUUGACUUAGAGGGAGGAUAGGCAUGAAAAGAAGUGUAAGGUUCACUGGAUCAUAUUUUUAAGAGAUAGAGAGAGUUCUACUUUUCAACAGCGGAGAGAACAUAUUCAAUCUUGGGCAUAAAAAGAAAAAAUAGAAGCUUCAUAGCACAAUAAUUAACCACAAUCCUCUGUUUUUCUAAAUGCAAAUAGAAAAAAGGAAUCAAAAUAUUCAACACAAAAUCUUCACAUUAGCUCAAGAACUAUAUUAUUUCCAGUGCUUUCCAAUUUUCCAGCACGGAACAACAAACAUAAAAGCAUUAAAAAUAUAUAAUUGCAAAAAAAAAAAAUAGCAAUUCCAAGAAACUAAAUGCGAAGUUAGCCAGAUCUGCACAGUAACACAAACCCAUUACUUGAAUUAAGAGCAUUGUGGCUCACCCUGAAAACACCCAUUUUGCAAUGAGGAAGAGAGACACUGCUGCUCUGGCUGCUGAGUGCUGCUGGCUCCAAAGCAGUUUGUCUACCAGAACUUUAUAAGAGCAAGUCCAACCCUUCAAAGCCACUGUAAAUCGCCAAGGAUUUACAUCAUUCUGCUUGCCUAAAAAAAGCAAACAAAAAAGAAAAAAAUGGAAAGUAUAAAAUUCAAAUGACCCUUGAUGAACAUAACCCAUAAAUUUUCCUUGUAUUCCAUAAAUGCAAUAAAACAAAAGUCAGUGUCUCCAUUUUCCAAAAAACCAAGCAAGCAAGCAACAAAUUUCGAAAACCCUAAUUCUAACCAAUUUAGAACUAUAACCAAGUAAACCACUUAAUCAACAAAACUCACUAAUUUUCUCAAAAACCCAACAAAUUUAAAGGAUAUCCAGAUGAUAAAUCCCAGUAAAAUCCCAAAUUUGAAAACCAGAAGAAAAAAAAAGACAAAGAGGCUUAUCUUUCUUCACUAAUCGGGCACUAACAGAAAAACCUUAAUUCAUAUUAUUCAGAUUACAAAUACACAGGGACCAAAUAGCUAAUAAUGCUGGACAAUUUGUCCCCAAUCCAACACAAAAAUUGUUCUUGUUAUACAUACGAUACCCGCCUAAAAUAUCAACCAAUUCCAAAUUAAAAUGGAAAAUGAAACGGAGCAUCAUAAAUUGAAUACAAUUUGGAGAAAAUUAUCUCACUUGGGGCGCCGAAUCUCCAAGAGGUCCCAAUCCGAGCAGGCUCCAAAUUGGGUUGUUGAAAAUGGUGAUCAAGGAAGGGUUUUGGAGGUGGGUCUGAUCAGAACAAAGCCGAAGCCAUUAGGUUUGGGGGGAGAGGAACAAAGAGCCACUGAGAGAGAGAGAGAGAGAGAGAGAGAGCAUGCGUUGUCCUUUUCUUCUAUCCGGCCACUGGAUCGCAGUUCCUUCACAAAAAUUAUACACGUGUGUUACUUUUUCAAGUUCUAGUUUUGUAAUCACCUAAUCGAUCAUAACACCAUUCGCAAAUAUGACAAACAUAAACAAUUAAGUCAGCAACAUGAUAUGCCAUUCCUUUCAUAUUGCACAUAUAAAGAAAAAAGAAAUGAACCAAAAUAAAAUUAUACUAUAAUCCAAUUAUAUGAAGGCCAAACUUGAGUUGGGGCUGGUGGCCGUUGACCACAUCAUCGCCUCCAUUUGAGAGAAAAGGGUUUGUUUGGCUUUUUUGUCCAAUUAUUUACACUAACCAUAUAUAAAUGAAGAAGGACAACAUCUAUGUUGCUCCCUUCUUGUGAUCCAAAUUUGAAGAGGGCCGAUGGGGAGGGGCAGUUAUAAGUGUCAUCCUCUUUGUUUCUCCUAUCCCUGCAUUAUCAACCAAAAAAACAUCAAACCAAGUGCAAUACAAUCCAAUUUAAUGCUCACAAAAUUUGAGCUCCAAACAAGGUCACAGGUCAGCAAUCGCCUAAUCGAUCAUAACACCAUUCGCAAACAUAAACAAUUAAGUCAGCAACUUGAUAUGCCAUCCCUUUCAUACAAACACAGAUUGCAAUUCAUAUAUGCCGCAUUAUUUACAAACAAUUACAAAUCAAGAAACAAUUAAAUCAUCAUCAUGAAUUAUAGUGUAAUAACAGCAUCAUCAAUUAGAAGAGACAGAGCUACAUGGCAAUAAACAUAUAGAGAGUAAACAUACAGAGAGGAACUGCUUCAUAUCCUUCCCAAAAGCAAUCUUCCGCAGGAUAACAAAAGAGCGGUUGAUCUCUGAUCUAAUUGCAGACGCAAUCUGCAGAACCGACUUCUAUGGAAUUUUAACUUGUGAAAUGUGGGGUGGAGAUUUGAAUGUAACAAAUUGGUGUUAAGUGAAUAAUUCCAAACAUAUGAAAUUUAGAUAAUCACAUCCGAACGCAAACAGAAGAAUUAAAUAAAGAAUCAAAGGCAUAUGCAAUCUAAUUAGACAAAUAAGUGAACUUUCCCAUGCCAAAAUCCGAAAGGCCAACAGAUAUCUCUCAUUACAGGACUUAAUACAUAUCUUAAAAGACAAAACUUAAAAUAACAAAAAUUAGGUGAAACAAUUGAAGAGAACAUAAUCCUUGUAACCAAUCCGGAAAAGAUGCUUUUAAAUCCCAGAAAACAAAUUAUGAGAAGUUUUUAAAAAAACCAUCAUUUCAAUUAUUUUCCAGUCUUACAUUUGGGAAUAAACAGAAAAUAUAACUAAAAUGCCAACUUUCUCAAAAAACUACAACUACUUUAACAAAUUUCCAUCACUCAACACUGAAAAAUGAGAAUCACGAAGCAACGAAGAACGGAACACGCUAGAAAUAACAACAAAGCCUUUUCCCACUAAGUGAGGUCGGCUAUAUGAAUCCUAGAACGCCAUUGCGCUCGGUUUUGUGUCAUGUCCUCCGUUAGAUCCAAGUACUCUAAGUCUUUUCUUAGGGUCUCUUCCAAAGUUUUCCUAGGUCUUCCUCUACCCCUUCGGCCCCGAACCUGUCUCGUAGUCACAUCUUCGAACCGGAGCGUCAGUAGGCAUUCUUUGCGCAUGUCCAAACAACCGUAACCGAUUUUCUCUCAUAUUUCCUUCAACUUCGGCUAUUCCUACUUUACCUCGGAUAUCCUCAUUCCCAAUCUUAUCAUUUCUCGUGUGCCCACACAUCCCACGAAGCAUCAUUAUCUCCGCUACACCCAUUUUGUGUACGUGUUGAUGCUUCACCGCCCAACAUUCUGUGCCAUACAACAUCGCUGGCCUUAUUACCGUCCUAUAAAAUUUUCCCUUGAGCUUCAGUGACCUAUGACGGUCACACAACACGCCGGAUGCACUCUUACACUUCAUCCAUCCAUCUUGUAUUCUAUGGUUGAGAUCUCCAUCUAAUUCUCCGUUCUCUUGCAAGAUAGAUCCUAGGUAGCGAAAACGGUCGCUUUUUGUGAUCUUCGCUAGAUUGCUCCGGUCAUUAGUGUGGAUAAGUAUAUAAAUGGAUAGAGAUAGGAAAGCAAACACCAGAUGUACGUGGUUCACCCAUAUUGGCUACGUCCACGGAAUAGAGGAUUUCUCAUUAAUUGUGAAGGGUUUACACAAGUACAUAGGUUCAAGCUCUCCUUUAGUGAGUACAAGUGAAUGAUUUAGUACAAAUGACAUUAAGAAAUAUUGUGGGAGAAUGAUCUCGUAAUCACGAAACUUCUAAGUACCGGCGUGUGGUAUCGUCUUGACUUGCCUUAUCUGUCUCGUAGGUAGAUGUUGCAUCUUCUCUGGAAGUACUCUUCCAUCCAGGGGUGGUAUCUUUAACUAGUGGAGAUGCACAAGGUAAUGUAUUAAUUUCACUUGAAGCUUACUUGUAGUUUCAGGCUUGGUCAAGCGCAAUACAAACCAUGUAGUAGGAGUCCCCCAAGUCGCCGAGCUAGGGGAUCUGCUGAAAGAGGUGACAGAUAAGGUAAGCAAUCAGAGCUCCAAGCAAUCAGUCCUAGAUCAGAACUUUGAUUUCGAGUUCCGGCUGAUUGUUCACAUUCUCCCUAUCUUGCAGGCAGCAUGAAGGAUAAAGAGAAGAAAAAUGAGAAGAGAUGAUAUGGGAUACUUUUGCUUUUGAAGAAGUAACUUUCCACAGGCUUAUUCUUGAACUGGGCUGGAGGGUUUUCUAGUUUCCUCCAGAGUAUAAGGCCGACUGAAGAAUUUGAGGGUCAAAACAAGUCCAUCAAAUCUAUAGUACGUUCGACCCUGCUGAUAUAGGAUACUUUUGCUUUUGACAGAGUAGUGGAUGUAUCGGCACGUGUGCUGUUACGCUUGUCUCCACAUGCUUCCUUGUAUCCUUCUCACUUGCCUUAUCUGUUCCUCAGGCAGAUGCGGUAUCUUCCCUGGAAGCAUAAAAUGUUGAAGAUGAGUACUCGAGAGCAAUGCCAGGUAAGUAAUCAAGUAAGGGGUUCCAGGCAGUCAGUUCAUGACUGGAAGCUUGAUUCCAAGUGCUGAUUGAUUGCUCUCUUUCUCCUUGUCUUGCAGGUAAGAACAAGGCCAAAGGAAAAGACAGGGAAAAAGCAUGAUAUGUGAUACUCUUGCUUUUAACCCUGAUGAUAUGAGAUAUUCUUGCUCUAGUAUAGCUUGUUUGCAGAGGUAUUAUCAGGGGGAAAGAAAGCUGAAUAUUUCGAAAGGCUUCUUUGGGAGUGGCUCUCAGAUAUGACGAAGGGUUGAACAUUUUUGCAGGUCUGCCUGUCCGUUGAGGAUGGAGGUCGACAUAUAUAGGAGUCUCCCUAACAACAAGUAGUAAUGCUAUUCCUUUACCCUGCUUGGUCAUAGCACGGUAAUGGGAGCUGCCAGCUUCACAUGUUUUAACUCUGUCAGAGCACUUUGAAAAAGUGAUCUGUGGUAUCUGGAAAGCUGAUGUUGCGUGUGAAGAUUACAGACAAGCUUUAUCCAAGGAGAUCCAGCUCUUGAAGUUGGGAAAGUGGUGCCUCUUCGGUUUUCGAACAAGUAAUCCUGUCGGAGAUCUGGCUCUCGAGAUUCGGAGAACGAUGCCUUUUCGAUUUUUGAGAAAGCAAUUCUGUUAGGGGUUUGGCUCUCGAGAUUCGGAGAGCGGUGUCUCUUCGAUUUUUGAGAAAGUAAUCAUGUUGGGAGUCUGGCUCUCGAGAUUCGGAGGGCGGUGCCUCUUCGAUUUUGGAGCAAGCAAUCUUGUUGGGAGGGUUUUCUCGAAUGUGAGAAAAGGUUGGGCAUGUUUGCUAGUCUACCUUGCCACGAAGCACAGAGGUUGACACAUAGGGACUUUCCAAUUAUCCAGCAGUGGUACUGUUCCUUUACCCAUGUGGGUAAUAAUAUGGUAACUAGACCUUCAAAAUUUAUGUGUCUAAACUUUGUUAGUGCUGUUUCUUUGCUAUUCUUUUACCCUUCUUGGUCAGAGCGAUGUAGUAGGAGCUGCAAGCUUCACGUGUCUCAACUUUGUCAGAGAACUUUGGCAAAGUUAUCUGUGGUACCCAUGAGCUAAUGUUGCGUGUGGAAAGUGGGUGAUUGAACAGUAAGAUUCAUGUGCUUUCUACUUCACCAGAAAUCUUCGACAUAAUGCCCAUAAUUUCCGCAAAGCUGAGUGUGCGUGUGACAGGUGCUGACAAGGUUGGAAAAGUAGGUGCCUCUUCGAUUUCUGAGAUCGGCCCUCGUGGUCUCUGAGCAGCCCAGCUUUUGAGAAAGCAAGCCUCUUCGAUUUCUGAGAUCGGCCUUCGUGGUAUUUGAGCAGCCCAACUUUUGAGAAAGUAAACGUCUCGUGGUCUCUGAGCAGCCCAGCUUUUGAGAAAGCAAACGCCUCUUCGAUUUCUGAAGCUCCGUCGAGUGCAGAUUUUUAUAGAGGCUGGCAUUAAGUUCCAAAGCACACUUGAAUCUCCACCAGUAGAAGCUCCAUUCUUGCACUUCUAAGAUCUUGAUUUGUCCGACCUCUUCUCUCUUCAACACCUUUGAAAAUGUCUGGCCCCCUCCGACCGUCGUUUUGACUUGAACCUUGUUGAAGAGGCAGCCACGCCUUCUCCAAACAACAUAUGGCGCCCAUCCUUCGUCUCCCCUACUGGUCCUCUUACCGUUGGGGAUUCCGUGAUGAAGAAUGAUAUGACCGCUGCGGUAGUGGCCAGGAACCUUCUCACUCCCAAAGAUAACAGACUACUUUCCAAACGGUCUGAUGAGUUGGCUGUUAAGGAUUCUCUGGCUCUCAGUGUUCAGUGUGCAGGUUCUGUGUCUAACAUGGCCCAACGCCUAUUUGCUCGAACCCGCCAAGUUGAAUCAUUGGCGGCUGAAGUGAUGAGUCUCAAACAGGAGAUUAGAGGGCUCAAGCAUGAGAAUAAACAGUUGCACCGGCUCGCACAUGACUAUGCUACAAACAUGAAGAGGAAGCUUGACCAGAUGAAGGAAUCUGAUGGUCAGGUUUUACUUGAUCAUCAGAGAUUUGUGGGUUUGUUCCAAAGGCAUUUAUUGCCUUCGUCUUCUGGGGCUGUACCGCGUAAUGAAGCUCCAAAUGAUCAACCUCUGCUGCCUCCUCCUUCUAGGGUUCUGUCCAGUACUGAGGCUCCAAAUGAUCCCCCUCCAGUGCCUGCUCUUUCUGGGGCUCUACCGACUGCUGAGACUUCUCCUAAGCAACCUUUGUGAAGGCUCCCUCUUGUUUGUUUAUUUUGACUCAUGUAUAUGUACAUAUUUGUAACUUAUCGGGGAUAUCAAUAAAUAAGCUUUCCUUCAUUUCAACGUAUUGUGUUAAAUACACCAAAGCCUUCUUCGCUAAGUUCUUUGAAUUUUCUUUUUGUUGAAGCUUGUAUGUUGAAGCUUUGUGAGUGGAGCAUGUAGGUUGAGGUAGUAUUCCCUUAAUUUCCCGAGUGAGGAAAACUUCUCGGUUGGAGACUUGGAAAAUCCAAGUCACUGAGUGGGAUCGGCUAUAUGAAUCUUUGAACGCCAUUGUGCUCGGUCCUGUCAUGUCCUCCGUUAGAUCCAAGUACUCUAAGUCUUUUCUUAGAGUCUCUUCCAAAGUUUUCCUAGGUCUUCCUCUACCCCUUCGGCCCUGAACCUCUGUCCCAUAGUCGCAUCUUCUAAUCGGAGCGUCAGUAGGCCUUCUUUGCACAUGUCCAAACCACCGUAACCGAUUUUCUCUCAUCUUUCCUUCAAUUUCGGCUACUCCUACUUUACCCCGGAUAUCCUCAUUCCUAAUCUUAUCCUUUCUUGUGUGCCCACACAUCCAACGAAGCAUCCUCAUCUCCGCUACACCCAUUUUGUGUACGUGUUGAUGCUUCACCGCCCAACAUUCUGUGCCAUACAGCAUCGCCGGCCUUAUUGCCGUCCUAUAAAAUUUUCCCUUGAGCUUCAGUGGCAUACGGCGGUCACACACAACACGCCGGAUGCACUCUUCCACUUCAUCCAUCCAGCUUGUAUUCUAUGGUUGAGAUCUCCAUCUAAUUCUCCGUUCUUUUGCAAGAUAGAUCCUAGGUAACGAAAACGGUCGCUCUUUGGUAUUUCUUGAUCUCCGAUCCUCACCCCUAACUCGUUUUGGCCUCCAUUUGCACUGAACUUGCACUCCAUAUAUUCUGUCUUUGAUCGGCUUAGGCGAAAGACCUUUAGAUUCCAACACUUCUCUCCAAAGGUUAAGCUUUGCAUUUACCCCUUCCUGAGUUUCAUCUAUCAACACUAUAUCGUCUGCGAAAAGCAUACACCAAGGAAUAUCAUCUUGAAUAUGUCCUGUUAACUCAUCCAUUACCAACGCAAAAAGGUAAGGACUUAAGGAUGAGCCUUGAUGUAAUCCUACAGUUAUGGGAAAGCUUUCGGUUUGUCCUUCAUGAGUUCUUACGGCAGUCUUUGCUCCUUCAUACAUAUCCUUUAUAGCUUGGAUAUAUGCUACUCGUACUCCUUUUCUUCUCUAAAAUCCUCCAAAGAAUGUCUCUUGGGACCCUAUCAUACGCUUUUUUCCAAAUCUAUAAAGACCAUGUGUAAAUCCUUUUUCCCAUCUCUAUAUCUUUCCAUCAAUCUUCGUAAGAGAUAGAUUGCCUCCAUGGUUGAGCGCCCUGGCAUGAACCCGAAUUGGUUGUCCGAAACCCGUGUCUCUUGCCUCAUCUAUGCUCAAUGACUCUCUCCCAGAGCUUCAUUGUAUGACUCAUUAGCUUAAUACCCCUAUAGUUCAUGCAAUUUUGUACGUCGCCCUUAUUCUUGUAGAUAGGCACCAAAGUGCUCGUUUCGCCACUCAUUUGGCAUCUUCUUCGUUUUCAAAAUCCUAUUGAAAAGGUCAGUGAGCCAUGUUAUACCUGUCUCUCCCAAAACUUUCCACACUUCGAUUGGUAUAUCGUCUGGGCCCACUGCUUUUCUAUGCUUCAUCUUCUUCAAAGCUACAACCACUUCUUCCUUCCGGAUUCGACGAUAAAAAGAGUAGUUUCUACACUCUUCUGAGUUACUCAACUCCCCUAAAGAAGCACUCAUUUCAUGUCCUUCAUUGAAAAGAUUAUGAAAAUAACCUCUCCAUCUGUCUUUAACCGCGUUUCUCUGUAGCAAGAACCUUUCCAUCCUCAUCCUUGAUGCACCUCACUUGGUUUAGGUCCCUUGUCUUCUUUUCCCUUGCUCUAGCUAGUUUAUAGAUAUCCAACUCUCCUUCUUUGGUAUCUAGUCGCUUAUACAUAUCGUCAUAAGCCGCUAACUUAGCUUCUCUCACAGCUUUCUUCGCCUCUUGCUUCGCUUUUCUAUACCUUUCACCAUUUUCAUCGGUCCUAUCCUUGUAUAAGGCUUUACAACAUUCCUUCUUAGCCUUCACCUUUGUUUGUACCUCCUCAUUCCACCACCAAGAUUCCUUUUGGUGUGGGGCAAAGCCCUUGGACUCUCCUAAUACCUCUUUUGCUACUUUUCGGAUACAACUAGCCAUGGAAUCCCACAUUUGGCUAGCUUCCCCCUCUCUAUCCCACACACACUGGGUGAUUACUUUCUCUUUGAAAAUGACUUGUUUUUUCUUCUUUUAGAUUCCACCAUCUAGUCCUUGGGCACUUCCAAGUCUUGUUCUUUUUUCUCACUCUUUUGAUAUGUACAUCCAUCACCAACAAGCGAUGUUGAUUAGCCAAGCUCUCUCCUGGUAUAACUUUGCAAUCCUUACAAGUUAUACGAUCCCCUUUCCUCAUUAGAAGAAAAUCUAUUUGUGUUUUUGACGACCCACUCUUGUAGGUGAUCACAUGUUCUUCUCUCUCUUCUUAAAGAAGGUGUUGGCUAAGAAGAGAGAUCAUAUGCCAUUGCAAAAUCCAAGAUAGCUUCCCCAUCCUCGUUUCUCUCCCCAAAACCAUGGCCACCAUGAAAACCUCCAUAGUUGCCUGUCUCCCUGCCCACGUGUCCAUUUAAAUCUCCUCCUAUAAAUAACUUCUCCGUCUGAGCAAUUCCUUGCACCAAGUCUCCAAGGUCUUCCCAAAAUUUCUCCUUCGAACUCGUAUCCAACCCUACUUGAGGUGCGUACGCACUAAUCACAUUGAUAAGUUCUUGUCCUAUUACAAUCUUGAUUGCCAUGAUUCUAUCUCCUACCCUCUUGACAUCUACAACAUCUUGUGUCAAGGUCUUGUCCACGAUGAUGCCAACACCGUUUCUCGUUCUAUUUGUGCCCGAAUACCAAAGUUUAAACCCUGAGUUUUCUAGAUCCUUUGCCUUAAGACCAACCCACUUAGUUUCUUGUAGGCACAUAAUAUUUAUCCUUCUCCUCACCAUAACUUCCACUACUUCCAUAGAUUUUCCCGUUAAGGUUCCUAUAUUCCACGUUCCUAAACGCAUUUUGCUCUCUUGAACUCUACCCUUCUGUCCUAGCUUCUUCACCCUCCCCCAUCUAAUAGGAUCAAAGUACUUCUUUUGUGUGUUCCGUGUAAAGUUGAUAGGAGCAUAUGCUUCUAAACAACUUUGAGUGGAGUCGUUCGAAAAGAAGUUUCUAUGGCCCCCUUGCUCAUUUAACACUGCAUCCGGGUGCCGAUGGAGAUACAACGACCCUUGCUCACUUAUCACUGUGCUCGGGCCACACAGCGCGCCACUUACUGGUGACACCCUAGCUUUAGCGCAAUUUCGUUCUGGAUUCAUUUUCAUAAGGAUUCGACGUAAUCAUGGAGUGCCGGCUGUCGACUACCUGACGCCCUCCCCCUCCUCCUUUAUCCAGGCUUAGGACCGGCAAUGUAAGAUAAACUUACACAGGCGGAGUUAACGGAACACGCUAGAACUGAAACAUUAAAAACAACAUGUACCCAUUUCAAAGACCAAAAAUCCUGCAAGGACAAAAAAAAAAUCCGAGAAAAUCAGUACAUCAGUACUCCCUGCAAAACCCCAAAAUCAGAAAAUUAGAAAAAGAACCCAAAUCAGUGGCAUGGUCCUUGUUUCUCCAUUAAUCAGUAGGUAAUGACCUAAUGAAAAAGAACCCAAAACAGACGGCUUAAAUUAUGGAAAGUGCUUAUAAAGCUCAUGAAUAACUUUCAAAGCCUGCAUUCCACAGUGUGCACACGCACAAACAUAAAAUAUACAUGCAUAGUUAAUUUUAGACAAUAAUACCUCAGAACAUAAGUUGCAAUUUGGGACUAUUUGGUUGACUCAAAAGAAAUUGAUGGGUUAGAAAACCACAAAAAAAAUACAAAGACGGAUGUUUUUAUGUCGUUCAUUUCUUACGUCGACAAAACACACACACCUGUGUUUUAAUGCUCCUCCAAUACUCAAUGAGAAGGCACCAGGCAAAAAGAAGGUCAAGGCUGGAAAGAAGCUUCCAAAGAGAACAAUAUAUAAAGCAGACCACAAAAAUUAGACAAAACCCAAAAACUAAACAGUAGAAAAACCUCUAAAAUAUAUAAAUAUAUAUAUAAUUAAAUAAUUUAAAAAAAAACUAAACUGCAAAUACUCUAGAAAUCGUAAAAUGAACUGCAAACCCGUCAAUCAUUUCCCAAAACCACAUAACCAAAGAGUAAAAAAGGGAGUACGGGAGAGAGAAGCAGCCAAAAUACAGAGAAGAUGGCAAGAGAGAGAGAGAGAGAGAGAAAAAUGAAUUAUUUUGGUGCCUCUGGUUCCUGCCUUUGUUCUUUGUUUUUCAUUUAUUUAUAGGUAACUUGCUCAAGUCCAAAGGCAAUUAAACAUGAUUAGUAAAGCACCAUAAUAAAGCAUGAGAGAUAUCUAUUUUAAUUAAAUCUGUUGUGGGCUCACUGUGAUUGUACAUCAUCAUCAUAAAUAAUGCAUGCUUGAACCCCAUUUUAGUUUCAUGCCUAUCAUAAUUAAAUCAUGGAUGGUCAAGAAGCAUAGGACUGAGAAAUCAGAGCCUAAUUUCCAAUAUCAAAAGAGUACAAAUUAUUCAACUUAAACGCUAAUUUCGUUAACGAAGAUUAAAAUAGGCGUGAAAUCCAUACAAUUUAUACGUUACCAUUGAUUCAAGUUCUGGUAGGUAUCCAUGGAAACUAUCCGUUGCCACUCUCUCAGUUCCCAUAUUUUCUGUAUGUUUCAUUAAACAAUAUAAACUUUUGAUGCUCUUCCAUCUGGAGCUAAAACAGAUUACCAAUAAUAACAAAGAGGUCUAAAUAAUAGAAAUCAAAAUUUUGAUUUUUGCGGACUUUAGAGAAUCUGCAAACUUUAGCCUAACAUUAUGUGAUUGCCUCACUUCUUCAGUAACUCAGAGGAGGUGAAUUACUCAAAGUAUGGAGGACUUCUGCUAACAUAUUUCAAGCACUUGUAACAUUAAAUGUAAUGACAGGUUGACAUUAUUAUUAUUUUUUUUUUGUAAAGAAUUGUUGCAAGAAGUUUGACCCUUUGUCUUUUUAUUUCUGUAAGGAUUUAUAGGUACAUAUAAAAUCCAUAUUAUAUAUGGUUCACAGAUGAGAGUACUUCAAACACCAAAUAUUCAUUCAUGAUUGGAGAUAAGAAAGCUUACUAAGAGGCAAUCGCCUUUGUGAUGUUUACUUUUGUGCUUAUCCUUUGUCUUCUUUUCUGAGGCAAAAUAUGUCAAUGUGAUAAGUAAUUUCCCAUAAAGAAUAUCAUCCUCAAUAGGCUAAACAACUACAAUGGUUAGUCAAAUAAUGUACUUUCAUGUAGUUAAUCUCCUCGGUUUGUGUUUACUUUUUCAAUAUCAAAACAUCUCGAAGAAACAACGUUUUCCCUUACUCUACAAACACCGAAUGUGCCCGAUAAACCACUAACAACGCCAUUACUCUAAUUCGACUGCAGAGUGAGAGUUAAGAUAAGAAGAUACUCACAGGCCAAAACGGAUGACAUCACCAACACAUAAAUCCAAAAGCCACAACCAAAUUUAAUUUUGUUUUUACGUUGAAUUUUUUUUUCUUGAAUCCGUUUGGAUGCUGAGAACGUGUGGUAUGGGAUUAUUAAUUACCGGCAGGGAAAAUGACGAUUUCUCCUAUUUGCAUUUGCAGGUGGAGGAAUCAUAGCCGAGGGAUUGCAGUUCGUCGGUGACCAUCUUCCUCAAAUCGUCUUUUUGUUUGAGAUUCUUGUUUGCUUCGACGAUCCUCGCCGUAUCAGCCAGGAGGUUUCUCUCCGAGACGCUCACGCAUGGAAUCAGACUCUGAUUAAACAAUAAUUAAGCAAACAAUCAAUCACCCAUAUUCAUAUUCUGUGUUUGGUUGCCAAGAAACCGCGAGAAAUGCAAAAACAAUUUACUAAUAAAAAAGUGUAAUCAAAGCAACCAUUAUUUAUACUUUUGUACCUUAAGAAUAUCUGAGGCGUCGCCACCGAACGAACCGGAGGAGAUUGAAUCACCGAAACCUCCACCGAAUAUAUCGAACUCGUCGUCGGAGCUGUCAUUGCUGUUGCCGUGAAAGCAAUUGCAGCGGUUCCGUCCACAUUUCGGCGGAGGUUGCUUCUCGUUGCUUUCUUCGAUGAAAUUCUGAACCAUCUUCGCCAAGCAGACCGAACUUGGCUUGAACUCAGGCCGCGGCGCUGACGGUCCCUUCAUCCUUGCUGAUAUUGAGGCCGCAGGAGUGGCGAGUUGUGAUGUGGACUCAGGCCUCUCGGCCUCUGGGUUUUACGGAGAAGGGGAAGAUGGUGAGGGUUGAGAGAGAUGCAGAGUCUGAAAGAGAGUGAAAGAGAAAGGGUUAUAAGAGAGGUUGAGUGUGACAGAGACGAUUGAAGCAAAACGCACGAUGAUAAACGCGUGUGCUCGGUUCAGAAUGGCAAGCCCGUAAAUACCCAAUGACAGAUUUGUAAAUAAAAUGAAAUUCACUUCAAAAUACUGUUCAUUUUAAUAGUGCCUAUUGAAAACCUUACUUUAGACUAAAGUAACUAAAAAUUAUGUUUGCGCGUUGCUACUAGAACCAACUGUUUCAAACGUAAUUGGAUGGACAAAACACAUUUAAGUUGAAUAAAUUCAAAACAAUUACGAACAAACAGAAGGAUACAUGAGUGCAUGAGGCCGGUAAGAUCAGCAGUUUUGCUUUUGUACACUUGUAAGUGAGUUGACAUAUAAACACAUUGCACAAUGAGUGAGAAUAAACUCUACGUGUUUGAAACUUCAUUUUAAACUAACAUUCACACAAUCCUAAUCAUUUGUGAAUUACCAUAUUCUUAUCAUUAUUCCAAUAUCUCUUCAUGUAGAUGGGGUGAGCUCAUACCAGUCACUAAGAGCAUUUUUGAUACUCUACUUGAAUCCAACUUUUUAAAUUCAAAAACAAUUUUCAAGUUUUAAGCCUUAAAAACUUGUUUGGUAAGAUUAUUUUCAAAAAUUGAACUUAAGAUUAACUCAAAACUAUAGUUUACUCUCUAAAAACACAAAAUGUAAAUUUUUAGAGUUUUUAAACUUAAACUCACUCAUUUCUUUUCUCUCCCUCCUCCUCUCUCACUCCAAAUCUAUCUCUCUUUUCUUCUUUCUAUGUCCCCCUUUUUUUUUUUUUUUUUACCUUUUUCGUCUCUCAUCCAAUCCGCUCUCUUCAUUAUCUCGAUUCUUUUUCUCACUUAUCUUCCUCUAUAUCUCCUCCGAUCCUCUCUUCUUUCUCUUUCCUUCAAUCAUAUCUUACUUUCUUUCCUCCUCUUUCCUCUUUCUCCCUCGACCCCCUCUUUUUGGAUCUCUUUGUCCAGUUUAAGUUGUAAGAUUUAAAAAUUUUAAAUUACAUACCAAACAAGUUUUUUAGUCUUAAAUAAAAUUAUUUUUCAAGAAAAAUUCUUAAAAAAUGUUUUGAGAAAUGAUAAAAAAUUUCAAAUAGGAUACCAAACAAGCAUUAAAAUUGCUAAUGUAUUUAGUGAUUAUACAGAGCAACUUAACUAUAGAAACGCUCCUCAAAUCACUCUAUACGUUUCCAUUUUGCUUUUCAAAUUAGCAUGUUUAUAUAUUGACAUUAGAGAAAACGAGAAUGCUGAUGAAAAUUGGAUUAUUAGAGGUUAAACGGCAGCGACCCCCCCCCCCUCCCCCCCCCAAAUCCAUUUUUGUUGGUUGACAUUCUGAAUAUUGACGGUUUACCUUGUCCUCCUUAAUUUCCUAUAAUCGGUAGUAUAGGGGCGACAUCUUGGCAUUUGUUGCAGUGUCGUAUCCAUCUGUACCCCCCUCCACUACCUUGCUUGUCUCCUUUAGUUUAUCUGUUGCUUGCCUCCCUUAACGAGCAGAAACCAAACAAGAACACCCAAUUUUGACACGUGUACAACACACUCAAACAUCAUCAGCGUCCAAGAAGGCUAGGCGCCAUAUCACAGAGAUCCAUCUUGGCCUAGGUCCCUCUCUAGUUUCUUGCUAAUCAAAAUUCAAACCCAAUUUUUUAUUCGGAAAUAAAUUUCAAAAUUUAGGAAAUUUUAUUAUCUGAAAAAGAAAUAAUUUUCAAGGGUUACACUGUGACUGUGCUGAUAAACACAUGGAUACCAAGCUCUGUUGUGAUUGCUUCCCUUUACGUUUUUUCGCCAAUCUUUGUGCACCAUUUAGACAUUGAUAGUGAUGCCAGUUUUAGCUGUAUCCUCACAUAAAAAUUGCCAAAUAUACACAGAUGUCAAAGAUCUUGAAGUUUGGUUCACAUGCUUUGUCAGGGAAGAUCAAUGUAUGCGAUUGGGUCGUCUGGAAUUAGCAGUGUAAAAGGUGUUGGUAUACGGUCCAGCCCAUGAUCAAUGUUCUAGAUUAUUCUAGUAAGCAAGAGAUGAGGCUGGAGCUUGCUAGACAAUUCUAGCAUGUUAUUAAGUUGAUGGAAGAAGCUAGAGAGUACUAGCUUCCUUGGUUGCAAAUGGAAAGAUCUAGAAGCUACAAGUAUGUGGCUAGUCUAGAUUUUUCUAUACUAGAGGUUUGAAGAAGGAACUAGAAACUAGUAGAAUGCCAAGCCCUCACCUAUAAAUAUGGGUGUGAUGUAACCAAUUGAAAAUCAAGAAAGAGUGAGUAGCAAAGGAUCAAGUCCAAAGCUAGAGUUCCACUCCAAGAGUGAGAGUGAGAGUGUUCCACUACACAUUGUGUGAGUGAAGUUUAGAGUGAUAGAAAGUGUGUGUUAUACUUUCUUGUAUCCAUCAAGCCUUGUCUUUGGCUUGGUAAGACUACUCUUGUUGUAUUCAUUUUUUUCAUAUAGUGAAGAUUGAUCCUUGUUUGGUGGACGUAGGCAUAAAUUGCCGAACCACAUAAAUUCUUGGUGUCCAUUUUCUACUUUACCUUGUGCAUUCUCUAUCUUGUAGUACUGACAUUCCUAACAAGUGGUAUCAGAGCCCGGUUGGCUCGUACUACGAGAUGGAAGGAAGUGGCACUAUGAUCAAACUCACCAACUCCAAUUGGGUAACAUGGAAGCCAAGGAUGGAGGACAUUCUCUAUUGCAAGGAUUUGCAUGAGCCAAUUGAAGGAGAUGCCGCUAAGCCCGAGAGCAUGUCCGAUGCCGAGUGGAAGAAGAUGAAUCGCAAGGCUAUUGGCACAAUUAGACAAUGGGUGGAUGAUAGUGUUUUUCACCAUGUGUCUAAUGAAACCAAUGCUCGCGAGUUUUGGACGAAGCUUGAGUCCUUGUUCGAGAAGAAGACCCCAGCCAAGAAAGCCUUCUUGAUCAAAGAGCUCAUCAAUGUGAAGUACAAGGAUGGUUUAAGUGUAGCAGAACACUUGAACAAUUUCCAGAAUAUCAUCAACCAGUUGGCUACUAUGAAAAUGACGAUCGAGGACGAGCUACAAGCGCUCUUGUUACUUGGAUCCUUGCCAGACAGUUGGGAGACCUUUGUGGUGAGUAUAAGUAACUCUGCUUCUAAUGGUGUUCUUACUCUUGAUAAUGUUAAAAAUAGCAUGCUCAAUGAAGAAACAAGGAGAAAGACUUCUGGCACAGAUAGCAGCCAAGUAUUUGUCACAGAGAACCGCGGAAGAAGCAAGAGUAGAGGGCCUAGAGGUCAUGGCAGGAGUCCUAGCCGAUCCAAGUCAAGGUUCAGGGGUGCAUGCCACCAUUGUGGCAAAGAAGGCCAUAUGAAGAAAAAUUGUCGAGUUUGGAAGAGAGAGCAAAAGGAAGGAAACAAUCAGAAGAAAGAUGAUACUGGCAAUACCACUGCUGUCAUAUGUGGUGAUGUACCAGAAAUAUUGUCUGUUGGUGAAUGUCUGCAUAUGGGCAACUCUGACAGAGACAUUGAAUGGAUCUUUGAUAAUGGAGCUUUCUUCCAUGCUACGUCCAAACGGGAGUUCUUCAGUACAUACAAAGAAGGUGACUUUGGCAUAGUGAAGAUGGGGAAUGAAAGCUAUUCCAAAAUUCUUGGAAUUUGGUGAUAUCUGCUUAAGAACUAAUCUCGGCUGCCAAUUGAUGUUGAAAAGAUGUGAGACAUAUUCCUGAUAUACGUCUCAAUCUGAUAUCCAUCGGUACCCUUGAUCGACAAGGAUAUUAUCACCAUAUUGGCGAAGGAAAAUUGAAGCUUACUAAAGGCUUAAUGGUGGUAGCAAGAGCACGACUUUGUUGUACGUUGUACCGGUCAAAUGCCAAGGUUUUGAAAGGUGAGUUGAAUGCUGUGGAAGACUCAUCUCUAGACUUGUGGCAUAAGAGGCUAGGCCACAUGAGCGAGAAAGGCCUACAAGUUUUGGCAAAGAAGUCUCAUAUUCCCUUUGCCAAAGGUACGUCGUUAAACUCUUGUGAGCAUUGUUUAUUCGGAAAACAAAGAAGAGUUAGUUUUUCUGUUCCAUCUACAAAGAAAGGAAACUUGUUAGAUCUUGUUUAUUCAGAUGUGUGUGGUCCCAUGGAAGUCGAGUCACUUGGAAGAAAUAAAAUAUUUUGUUACUUAUAUUGAUGAUGCUUCACGAAGGGUGUGGGUGUAUUUGUUGAAAUCCAAAGACCAGGUGUUUCAGACAUUCCAGGAGUUCCAUGCCAUGGUGGAGAGGGAAACUGGGAAACCUCUCAAGUGCCUUCGUAGCGACAACGGCGGCGAAUACACAUCUCACCAGUUUAGAGAGUAUUGUGUAAAACAUGGCAUACGUCAUGAGAAGACAGUUCCUGGAACUCCACAACAUAACGGUGUUGCUGAAAGAAUGAACCGAACCAUCAUGGAGAAAGUCAGGUGUAUGUUGAGGACUGCAAAGUUAUCUAAGCAGUUCUGGGGUGAAGCUGUAAGGACAGCCUGCUAUUUGAUCAACCGAUCUCCAUCAGUACCAUUAGGUCUUGAUGUUCCAGAGAGAGUAUGGACUGGUAAUGAUGUGUCUUACUCUCAUCUGAAGGUGUUUGGUUGCAAAGCUUUUGUGCAUGUGCCCAAAGAGCAGAGAUCGAAGUUAGACUACAAAGCUACACCGUGCAUCUUUCUUGGUUAUGGCGGUGAAGAUUUUGGUUACAGAUUAUGGGACCCAUACCAGAAGAAGUUUAUCCGAAGUAGAGACGUGGUCUUUUAUGAAGAUCAAACAAUUGGGGAUUCGGAUAAAGAGGCACAACCAGAUGGCGCAGUCAGAGGAGUUGAUCCAUUAGUUUCAGAUGAAGAAAGUCACGAUGACAUCCCUGAAGCAACUGCCAAUGAAGUGCCUGCAGAAUCAGAUAAUGCUGAUCAAGAGGAGCCUGAUCAAGAUGUGCCAGACCAUGAGAUUGCUGAUCAGGGGGAGCCUAGUCAAGAAGAGCAGAUUCAAGGAGAAUCCAAUCAGGGGGAGCCUCUAGCCCCGCAAGAGAAUGAAGAUCAGGUCAGAAGAUCCAGCAGAAGUCGAAGACCGUCUACCAAGUAUUCUUCAUCAGAGUAUAUCAUGUUGACUAAUUAUGGAGAGCCCGAAACUUAUGAGGAGGCCAGAGCUCAUAACGACAGUGAUAAAUGGAUGAAGGUAACUUGGAGUCAUGAUCGGAAUUCCUCCCUCAUGGACUGGAGGGGGAGAUUGUUGGUAUACGGUCCAGCCCAUGAUCAAUGUUCUAGAUUAUUCUAGUAAGCAAGAGAUGAGGCUGGAGCUUGCUAGACAAUUCUAGCAUGUUAUUAAGUUGAUGGAAGAAGCUAGAGAGUACUAGCUUCCUUGGUUGCAAAUGGAAAGAUCUAGAAGCUACAAGUAUGUGGCUAGUCUAGAUUUUUCUAUACUAGAGGUUUGAAGAAGGAACUAGAAACUAGUAGAAUGCCAAGCCCUCACCUAUAAAUAUGGGUGUGAUGUAACCAAUUGAAAAUCAAGAAAGAGUGAGUAGCAAAGGAUCAAGUCCAAAGCUAGAGUUCCACUCCAAGAGUGAGAGUGAGAGUGUUCCACUACACAUUGUGUGAGUGAAGUUUAGAGUGAUAGAAAGUGUGUGUAUACUUUCUUGUAUCCAUCAAGCCUUGUCUUUGGCUUGGUAAGACUACUCUUGUUGUAUUCAUUUUUUUCAUAUAGUGAAGAUUGAUCCUUGUUUGGUGGACGUAGGCAUAAAUUGCCGAACCACAUAAAUUCUUGGUGUCCAUUUUCUACUUUACCUUGUGCAUUCUCUAUCUUGUAGUACUGACAUUCCUAACAAAAGGAGGAUUGAUGAAUCUGAGAAAGAGGAUUGAAAGCAAAAGAGAUGAGAAGCUGAAUGGAAAACGUCGCUCCAGCUUCCUCUUUGAUUCAAUCUCGCCCACUGAAUAAAAAUGAGAGAGACAACGCAAGAAGGAACCGUUACAAACUUCACAUGCAUUACACACCUCUCAUACUCGCAAACCUCUAUCCAGUCUAGUAAGGGCUUUGAAGCAGCUUCUAAAACGGACUAAGGGCUCGUUUAAGCAUAAUAAAAAAUUGGGUUUACACCCCCCUUGUGUACCUGGUAAGCCCCUCUUCACAUUGGAUCUAAGCAUAUAUUCUUAGCUUUUGAAGCAUCCGACAAAUAAGGAGGAUAGGUUUUUUUAGAAGUUUCUGACUCUUCUUCAAAUAAAUCCAUUUUAUCGGGAUUAAAAAUAGGAAUUGGUAAAAAUCUCAAAGACAACACAAGAAGGAACUGUUGCAAACUUCACAUGCAUCACACACCUCUCAUACUCACAUGUCUUGCAUGUGUAUAUCUAAGACAAAGUCCGCUACUAUGACAGCUGGCACAAUCCGAACCUAUGAGCUAGUCUAAUCUCAACCAUUUAAUUUCAAUUCAAACAAAUAAGGACAAGACUAUGGAACUUGAAUUCUAAGAAAUCAGCUUCAAGGCUUAAUCACUAACAAUACAUACCUGAUCAAAAAAGAAAGAAAAAACACAACUUUACAAUACAUACGGAUAAGUAAAUACUGUCCACGUACUAACCGCAGGUGAAGAAAGAAAUACGCGAAAAAGCAAAAAACUAAAUAGAAGAGCUCUCAGAAUAAAGAAACCAACUCAAAACACAAAAGAGUGAUAAACUCUACCACACAAAAUCACCAUUUAUUCCACCUCCCAUGUCCCCAGUCUUACUACAUAUCAGUGAUGAUGCGCCAAAUACCUCAAUCCCCAUUACCCCGUGACCCACAGAUACAACCCCAUAUUCUCCCACCUCUCCUUGAUGCUGCCACCGCCUUCUCCUUCUCUUCCUCAUGGCUCGACUGCUUGAGAUAACUCAAAAUUGCCUCAACAGCCACCGCCUCCUUUUCCUCGCAGCUUGAGUCCACCGUCACAGUCAACGGUGCGGUGCUCUGAUUCUGAUCCAAAUUCCCAGAAGUGCUGAAACUUUGUCGUUUUGGGUGGGAACCCUUUGAUCCAUGAUUGCUGUCCUGAUGUAUACUAGUUCCCUCUAGUGUACUCUCUGCCUCAAGGAACUCCAAAUCUCGCAGCCUCAUCUCUUCCCCAUAACUUGACUCCUCAUGAUCUGUCAAAAUUUCUGAACCAUCGCUCCAGGGGAGGAGGGAUUCCCCAUCAGCCACCGCUUCAUUUUGCUCAUUGUUUGGGACCAUGGCAAUGAUGGCAUUAAUCAUAGGUGCAGUGCUUCGAAACUGAGCCAAAUCCGCCAAAGUGAUGAAUUGUUGUUUAGGGCGGUAACCACGUAUACCAGUUCCCCCUAUGUGAAGGUUCUUCAAAUACCGUAAGUCUUCAGGCAACUUCGAAAGUUCUGAGCACCCAUGGAGAUUGAGCCAUUCGAGACUCAACAAAUUGCAGAUACUGUCCGGAAUAUAGACCAGGCUUUUGCACUUUUUCAGAUUUAACGACACUAGCCCCUGAAGCCGUUCAAUUGAUGCAGGAAGCUCUCUGAUAGAUGUUCGAUCCAAAUCAAGGCUGGCUAACCUUUCCAUAUUUUCUAAUAUGUCUGGAAACACCUCAAACUUUGUACAACCAGAAAGAGAGAGAUAAUUUAGGGACUUGAGUUGACAAAUGUUGCUUGUAAGACUCUUAAAGUCUUUGCUAUACCGUAGCGUCAAAGUAGCAAGUCCCGUAAGACUAUAAAUUAUGGAUGGCAAUUCUUCAAUUGCAAUCCCUGAAAACUCAACAAUUUUUCGGCGGCGAGAGGCUUGCUCACGUUCAAGCUCUGUAAGAUUUUUGAAUGUUGAUGAAUCUUCUGUAAAUAUAGUCCAAUCGAAAUUAAGCUCUGUUAGGUUCUCCAUACCUUCUAGAAACUCUGGAAAAUUCUUCAGAUUUGAGCAGCCAGAAACAUUCAGGACUUGAAGAGAUCUCAUAUGAAUGCUGCCUGGAAAAAUCUUUAAUCUUCUGCAAUCCUUCAGGCUCAGGGUAACGAGUCCUGUAAAAUUUUUUAUGGACGAGGGCAGUUCUGAAAUUGCAGUCUCAUCUAAAUUAAGCUCUAAUAGGUUCAUAACUUCAGGAAUUUCUGAAAAAUUAUCCAGAUUUGAGCAGCCGGAAAGAUUAAGGGUUUGAAGAGAUCUCAUGUGAAUGCUGCUUGGAAGGCUAUGAAGUUUCUUGCACUGCUUUAGACUCAAACUCUCAAGGUUUUCAAGAGAAUAAAUUGAUGGGCAAAGGUCUUCAACAGAUGUCUCAUCCAAGCGAAGCUCUCUUAAUCCUUCCAUAUUUCCGCCAUUUUCUGGAAAGGCUUUGAGCUUUGAACAACCAGAAAGAUUAAGAAAUUGCAGGGACUUGAGUUGAACAAUGCUGUUUGGAAGAAUCUCAAGUUCUCUGCAAUAUUCAAGAUUCAAAGUAACAAGCCCCGUAAGAUUGUUAAUUGAUCGAGGCAGUUCUUUUAUUGCAGUCCCUUGCAAAUAAAGCUUUGAAAGCUUCUCCAUAAUUUCUGAAAUCUCUGGAAACUUCUCAAGUAUUGAGCAAAAAGAGAGAUCAAGGGUUUCAAGAGAUUUCAUACAAAUGGUGCUUGAAAAGGUCUUGAGUUUGCCGCACCAACUUAGAUCCAAGAGGACAAGUUUUUCAAGGGCAGAAAUGGAUGGGUGAACCUCAUAUAAACUUUGUGCAUCCACCAAGAAUUAGGUUCUCAAGAUUCUUUGCCUCAGUGAAGUCAGGUGUUUCCUUAAGACGAUAAGAGCCUUUUAAGUUGAUAAUUUUCAACUUUUCCAGAGGCUGUCAAUAUACAACAAGGAAAAUAUGUGUUACCUACAUAAUAAGGCAUUUAAAAACUAAACAAUUUAAAAGCAGUAUAUAGGCAAAUGAUGAACGUACCUGAGUUCCUUUCCAGAGGUGUUCAACCCAACUAUAUUGCAUGUCAAUGUCAACAAGAUUCUCUGGGUUAAAAUUGGACGAUAAAGACUUUAGAGGACAUUUGUGCCAGAACAAAUAACUUAAUUUUUCAGAGAGAAACUUUAGAUCCUUGUAUUUCCAUUCAUCAUCGGAUUCCCUGCCCGGUGGUUGUAAAUAGUGGGUAUGGACUCUGAGUAGUCUUAGUUUUAUCAUUUUAAAAAAAGCGGUGUCUAAUUCCACCACAUUGUUUGAGUAUGGCCAACGCACAAUUAUGCUUUCAACUGCUUCUGUAGCCUGGAUAACCAAAAUUGCAAAUUGAAUGAGUACAAAACUUAAGAUUAUAACUUCUAAAUGCACAUGUUUCUCAUUAAUUGGAUUUUGGUCAAAGUUGAAGCUUUAUACUUUUUAUUAAUAUUAAUAAUAAUAAUAUUAUUAUUAACAUUAUUAUUAUUAUUAUUAUUAUUAUUAUAAUUAUUACUAUUAUUAAAUUUACUAAUAUUAAUGUGAGAGAGAAGAUUCAAAGCAAUUACAUUAAUGGAAGGGAGGGAGUGCGUUUCUCACCGUUUCUCGACUUAACACAUGAUGAACAUCUUCAUAGCUCCACAACCUACUGCGCCUCCCAGGCUCUUUUAUAGAUUCCUGGCGUACGAUUUCGCGACCCAUUUCCUCUAGUAAAUCAUGCAUCUCGAGUACACCAUCAGAUGAGACAGUGACAAGAGCUCUACCAACUAGAACGUCUAAUCCGGUAUGGGGAUGGAAGUCACAACCCUCCAUAAUCCUUGUUGCAAAGUCUUUCUUCAUUUGUUUAAAGAAACAUGCAAUAUCAAGAAAUAUUUCCUUCUGCAAACCAUCUAGUCCAUCAAAGCUUGUUCUAAGGACUGUCUGGAUUCCCAGGUGCGGAUUUCUCGCUAUUUUCUUUAACUCAUCUUUCCACACAAGUACACUUUUGUUAUCGAGGAAUGCUCCCAAGACUUUGAGUGCUAAAGGCAAACCUUGAGCAUAUUUUAUGAAAUGGCCUGACAAAUCAACGUAUUCUUCUGUGGGUUGCUUUGUACUGAAAGCAUACUGCAUAAACAGCUCGAGAGCAUCAUCGUCAUUUAACAACUCGGGCUCAUAUAUCUGAUCACCAAGUCUACUUAGUGACUGUUUCUCUCUAGUUGUUAUAAUGAUUCGACUUCCGCCACCAAAUGAAGGUUGCUUUCCAAUUAAGGCUUCAAUUUGGGAUGAACUCUCCACAUUAUCAAGAACAAGUAAAACCUUUUUCCUACCAACUCUUUCCAUCAUCUUCUGAAAACCAUUUCUCAAAAUCUCUGAACUCCCCACCUUCAUAUUUGUGAUACUAGAUAGAAUUUCUGCCUGCAUAUCUAGUGGUGCUUCACCUGCAUCAGUUGACGGAAAACGUCCCUUGACAUUUUCAAGAAAGCAACGACCUUCGAAGUGAUGAUUGAUUUUGUCAUACAUAGCUCUAGCGAUGGUGGUUUUGCCUAUACCGCCCAUACCCCAUAUUCCAACAAAGCGAACGUUAUCGACCUCGGGACAUAAUAGUGAAUCCAUUUUCUGUAAGCGGGAAUCCAUUCCAACCAAGCCAUUCUUUUCACUUGAUAAGAUGUUGAUAAGUUUUUUAAAAAUAUCAUCGACAAUCAACUCAAUAAGCUUGGCAUCAUCCCUGCCAAAUUUGAAAAACAGUACUGUGAAGUCCUGCGAUUGCUUGUCAUAUAACACUCAUCACACUGUCAUUGAAAUUGAAAACACAAAGUAACGGCCCAACAAUUCUCAAUUUAUUCUUCUUUCAUUUACUCAAUGCACUUUUCUAAGUUCAAUCAACAUAUAAGAGAACUAGUCAUCUAUAUCCUCUCAAGAUGUUUUAUAGACCUUUUAGUCGUGCCCCUUUAUAUUGAUCUUGCGGUGAAGAAUUAAUUUAACUUGUUCUUUUUUUACUUAUUCAUGUUGGACGACGUCUUUUCUACAUUAUUUCUCUUUUUUAUACUAAUUUCCUCUUCCCUUCUAAUGGCAAAGAUCUAGGUGUGGCAGUGGAAAGUUUUGCACAGAGUUGGUGAGUAUUCAAUUUUGUAGAGGGUUGGGAAGGAAGUCUUGGUUCUAGUUGUAUUAACAUCAAUUAUAAACUAAAAAGAUCAAAACAAGAAAUUAGCUAAACUUGUAAACUAGUAAGUUAAUAAGAUUAUGAAGGAAUGAGUUACUGGUAAUUUUGUGAAUCCCAGCCACAUAAAUUGGGGGCUCUUUGUAGAGCAGACCUCCACCGCUCCACUUCUUCCAUGUCCGCGUUAGGAUCAUGUUCAUGUUUAGAAAAAGCUUUCUCAAAACUUCCCUCGAUUUUACGAACAUGAGAUGGGUCUACUUGGUAGAAAAUGGGAAUCACAAUCUGCUUCUGAUGAUCCAUGCAUUGCAGGAUUUGGACGAGUUCUUUCAAGCACCAUGUGGAAGAAGCGUAGUUUUGAGAAAAAACUACAACUGAAAGCCUCGAGUCGCUUAUAGCUGUCAGCAGCUGCGAAAGGUCUUUGCCUUUUCUGAGCUUUUCAGCGUCAAUGAAGGUGUUGAUUGAGUUCUGAACUAGAGCUUUGUAGAGAUGGCCGAUGAAGGUCUUGCGAGUGUCUUCGCCUCGAAAAUUCAAGAAGACAUCAUAUUUCCAAUCGGGAACGGAUGAAGAAGAAGAAGCCAUGAACAAGCACAAGAUCGACAGCCUAAUGUGAGUCUCGUGUAGCCCCUUAACAAAC